RNAcentral lists this long non-coding RNA (69834 nucleotides) under Malus domestica (apple). RNAcentral's name for it is "long non-coding RNA (MDOM_LNC016107)". The record is from RNAcentral. Lineage: Eukaryota; Viridiplantae; Streptophyta; Magnoliopsida; Rosales; Rosaceae.
UAAGGCCCUUUGAUUGGCUGAGAGGAUUGUGACUCGCGUGAGACGCAUAUAGUUGGGAAACGAGAGAAUUGUGGUUGCAGUUCCAACUCCCAUUUUUUUCCAAUUUUUUCCAUUUUUUUCCAAUUUCUCAAAAGCAUACAAAGACUAAUCCUUAUACCAUUUCCUCUUUUUUUAACCUCCUUUUAUUCCUCUCCCUCUUGUUUGAUACAAAAACAAAGAACCGCGAAGUUUCAGAGACUUUGGAUUUUCGGAUUUGUCCCCUUCUAUUGAAAUUGUAUAGAAGGGGGACCUUCAUGAAUCCUUCAAAUUUCAUGCUUAUAUAAAAAAGCUCGAACCUUUUCGUUUUCUGCAACAAGGAGCCUUCUGGGUUUUGGUUCUCGAGGAGGAAGAAGUCUCUGUUUAGAUGUUGAAAGUUGGAGAAAAUGAUAAGACUAUGGAGGGCCCUGCAUUUUCGAAGCUUUUUGUGAGCAGCCUGUCACUUGCUGUACGGUUUACAUCUUCAGCACCGCCUGCCGCGAUCUGUCGCGGCGCGAGCAAUUGCAAUCGAAGGACUGAGCAUUGAGGUAAGGAUGGUGGCCAGAGAGACCGCCGCAAUGGCCGCUCCACCUAUUUUGGUCCAUGGAAUUUUUUGCAGGGUAGUGGAUUAAGUAUUUUUGUGGAAGUAUAAUGGGUUUAUUCUGUUUUUGCAAAUGGAGACAUUUCUGGCGAGAAGAGAUAAUCGAAUUUGUUCAUCUUUGUAACUGGUUCCGAUAUCGGUUUUGCAGAAGUUAGGGAAUGUAUAAAUCGUAUUCGCAUAGGGUGCGGUAGAACAAGUUAUGGAUGUUUUGGUUUAGGUUGAUGUUUCUCAACGAAGGCGGCGAGUGAUUACUGGACCUCAAAUUGUUUCACUUUUCGUCGAGUUACGAAUAAGGACGCGAAUCUCAUGUUCAUUUGAUUGUAAUUUUUAAUAAUUUCGGAAAUAAUAGGCCUCAUAGGCUCAUAGCGAGUCUCUGAUUGCUAAUUUGUGAUUGGUUUGAUUGCAGCGGCACUCCCUGAAUGGGAUGAGGAUCACCUCUUCACUUUUCGGCAUUUCUGCCGGAGCACAGGUGCCGUGUGCUGCAGCAAAUGCUUGCUGAUAAGGUUAGUCCAAUUAGCAUCCUAAAAUUAAUGCUAUAGUCAAGAAUAUGAAUUGGUUUUAGACUAGUUUUUCUUCCGAGUGAGAGAUACUUGGGUAGGGAGGGCAGCUCUCACACACGCUAAGACCAAUAGUGGUCAAGCAGGAUCAAAGUACAGACGGUCUCAUGCUUUUGUGAGAGGUAUACCCUGUGGAUGACGUGGUCAGGCACCCCUACUCAAAUUUUUCGUCACAAUGCUUUCUUAGUGAACAUUCCUUAAACAACAUCCAAUCUCUUUACCUUUGCCAAGGAAAAAUCAUUUUUUACUUUGACGAAAUUUUAUUUUUGUUGAUUGAAACGUUUGAGUUUGUAUUCAGCGUCAGGGUUUGAGAACACAAAUGAGAAUUGGGUAUUGAGCAUAUCAUCAUUGUCAGGAGCAUUCAAUGGAACAACAAGAACCUACUUGGAUGGAAUGCAGUGAGUUUCCAUUUCAUCAUCUUAUUCUUUUGUCUAUAAACUCUGUGUGACGAAUGCAAAUACGUAUGCACAUACUUAUGCAAUACGAUGAUUGGCUGCCUAAAAGAGCAAAGCAAUAGAAAGAAUCGUCUUUUGUGACCUCAGGAUAUUUGUCUCCCUUUGUUUUAUAUUUAUAAUAACCCAUAAUUUCAUAUGCAAAACAAAAGGUAAAAACAGAACGACCAGAAAAUUUGUUAAUAAUAAUCUUGAAUCUAUGCUAAAUACUAACUCGCAAUGGUAACAUGGAAUUUAGAUAUUUCGCAGUUAUGCCCUGAGUGAAUAUUUCGUUGGUUUACAACCGAGAAAUUCUUAACAAAAUGUUUGGUCCAUUCAUGAAUGAAGAAAUGGGCUUAGGGGUCUGUUUAUUGCCUCUUGGGAACCAGGCCAUUCGCUUCUACUGAUUGAUACUAAGCCUAGUCACACUUUCAAGGCUGUUGAUUGCCUCCAACCAGCGCAUCUACAUUCCUUUCCCCAACACAUACUUCAUAGGCUCUGCCUACUCAACACCAUCUCCAUUCCUUUCCCAACACAGGUUUGGUGUCACAUCUAAGCGAACGAGGAAGGUGUUGGGUGUCACAGUUCCAUCAAGCAUAUGCGGAAUUCAUCCAUUGCUUUUCAUUAGAGUAUUGCAAAUGAGCCAAUGGCGCCACCCUCCGGAUGUCCCUCCCCCAUACAAAGGCUAUAGGUGUGUUCUUAAGCACAUGUUAAAAGUAAUUGAAUACUCGAAUUCAAUUGCAUUGUCGUGACUCAAUCCUUGUGUGAAUAAUUCGUGUGCAGGGAUGAGGAUUGGCAGGACAAUGAUGGAGCUUUGAAUACCAUCUCCAUGACUCGCCCUCUUCUCCCCGUUGAACAUCCCAGUCGGUUUGUAAAAGAUGAUUCAGAUUGUCAUCCUUUGCAACCUGGCAUCUGGUUAGUACAAACACUUCUCGAUUGACCAUCACUACGUAUUCUUCAUUGUUUGUCAUUGAACAAAACAAUAAAUGUGGAACUUGAUUACAAUGCAGGUACUAUAAGAUUGUGGAAGCUGAUCACAUAUUCUUCAUUAUUAAUCGGGAGAGAGCCGGAGUUCAGUUUGAUCUGAUAUACGACAGCAUUUUCGAACGCUGCAGAAAGCAUGUGUUUAGAAAAACUCCGCAGACUUUACCGAACGAAACACACCAUUAGUUCAGCAUUCCAUUGCUCUCACGCAAUAUACUACAGAAUUAGAAUCUAAAAUCAAAAACAAAGAAAGCUAUUCAUUAGCACCAGCAGUAGCCUUUGUUCCCCUUCCCUGACCUCAUGUAUAUGUUUAUUUCUUCUUCCUUCGAUUUUUCGAAUUUUUUCACUCACCCUCCGACUGCUGGUACAAUUUGAAUAGCCUUGUUGUAGUGUGGUGAGAGAUAUUUAUAGGGUUUAGCUUUGUACAUCAGACCUCUUUGGUCUUUCCAGAGUUGAUGUAUUUGGGAAACAGAGUAUAUAAUUUAAGUUAUACACCCAAAAUUCGAUUGCUACAUUAGAUCCUUCCUCUUUCCCUUACUCCAACAAAUCUGGAUCAUACGUGCAUUGCUUGCUUGGACAAAUUAAACUUGGGCUGAACUAGACCUACGACACCUUCUAGGCCCAUACAUCUUUAUGCUCCGUUUUGUAAAGGCCCAAAUCCGUUUUGUUUCUCAAGAAUAUCCAAAUAAAGAGACAAGUGAGAUAUAAAUAGAUUUUAUGAUUAAUUACACACUUAUAAAUAUGUAAAAGUUAGAGAGAUAACCUUUACUAAUGACAGGAGCGAAACAUGUGUAAAAUAUCAUACUGAAACUAUAGCACUAGGGGAUGACAAAUAAAAGAGGGAGGAAUAGAUGAUGUUAUCGAUCUUUCUAUCUUUCUGUAUAUUGAAAGUAUACGGAGCGCUCUAUUUAUAGAGCAACUCCAAACUAAUGCAUUAACUGCACAUUGAAGUUUACAGCACUUCCUUUGACAAUACAAUCUUCAUGCAUUUCCAAAUUCAAUUUCACUUUGCAUGGGCAUUGAAAAUGUGUGUGUGUGGGCAUUCAUAUCAUAACAAUGCCAACGUUUUCAACACACACUGCAUUUUGUGGUUUACGACAUGUAACAGUUAAGUCCACAUCUUUUAUAAAUAGGAAAAAAUCAUCUUUAAAAUUACAAAUCCUUACACCAUUGUUACUUUUAACCAUGCAUUUGAUCGUCCGCCUCUUAAUGAGAAUUAGGCUACAAUACUUUUACAAUAUUGUAAUGUGAUACCCAAGAUAAUUGGAUUUAUUAAAAAGUGUUCUACCACAACAACAAUAAGUAAUCGUUUGAAAGUGCUUUCAAAAUAAUUGGUGCUUUUUCUAGGAAACAUUAGUUCAAGUGCUGUUUUAGGAUUCACUUGUGUUUUUACAAAUGAUUGAUUCCAAAAACAUUUUCACCAAAAGUUUUUUCUAUCAUUUUGAAAGCAAUUCCAAACGAGCCCUAAGAUGAUGGAAAGCCUCGAAAUCCUUAUAUAUUUGUCAAUUAUGUAUUAAUACUGCAUUAACGAAAUCAUGCAGUUAAUUAGCAAGGAUUAAACGUAGGCUCGCUCUUAGUAAGUAAAAUCAGCACAUGCAUGAGCAUCAUCAUCAUCAUCAUCAAUGGUGGCACAUGGGAAUAUGCAUGUUUUUGUUGAUGCAACGCAAUGCAUGUGUCGGGACCAAAACUCAUUUCUUAAACCUCCACUCCAUAAUUGUAAAGCAUAAAACCAAAGUUAACUAAUUAAUUAACAGUUAUAAUAUAGUGUUCAAACCAAAAGAACAACACAGUUCAGAAUUAAACUAUUAUUUGGUCGACUAAACUACACAUCUUGAACAAUGUUUGACCCCAAUGAAAGAGAGGAAUCUAAAAAUACUAAUAAUUUAUGUGGCUUCAGUUGUGAUCCUUAAGUCAAAAUCUGACUAGAAAGCAUUGAUUUGAAGUCAAGAAUCGAAGUCGAUCGGCCGACCGAAUAAACAACUGAUGCAUUAAUUUGUUUUGUGUUAUUGUGUAAACUAAACGUGUUAGAGCAUUUUAAUGCGGAUAUGUAAAUUUGAGAUGUAAAAAUCACAUUUACAUCUCAUUUUAUAUUUUCGAUAGAUGUAAAUGAGAGUUCUACUUUAUAAAAAGGAAGCAAAUUUGAGAUUCCAUUUAUAUUUCUCUCUUUGAUUUGCGAGACCCGUUAUCAGAAGAUGUAAAAAAAGGUGUAAACUUAAGUUUUUAUUUACAAUACUUGUCAGCCAAAAUGGAUAUUUUACAUCUCUCUAAUUAGAGAGUUUUCCGACUACCAAAAAUUAUAAAAUACAUAUUUUAAGGCAUUUUGCAUCUCUCAAAGAAAAUGCGCUAAGAUACCUUUUUUUUCACUUUCUAAAUAGAUCAAAUGAUUGAUUUUGAAAAAUUGCGACUACUAGAUACUUCGAGUAAACAUGUUUGACUUCUAAUCGAGCGACUGUAUCAAGUGGGAAACUGGCUCGAUUUAAGCCUUUACUAUGCCUUUAGUUUUAAAAGGACUUCAACAAUUUUCCUAUUCAAAGGAAUUAAUUCACGAUCAACAAAGACACUAGAAUUGCUUUGUCAUUUAAAACAAUCGAAAUAGCUAAGGACCACUUCAAUGAAUAUUCCUUUUAUUUAUUUGUUUUAAAAACCUAGCUGCAAAAUGUUGUCACUGUACAUAGUUGUUGUCUUUUAGCCCACGCACACAGUAAGCGCAAGAUUUUCAUUUAAUUUUCACCUUCGAUUUAGGAUUGAAGCUGAAAGCAUGAAAGAUGUCGGAUUGUGUCGCGAUCAGAUUGAGUUAGUUCAACACUAUGCGUACAGCUGGUAUCCUUUUUAUUUUGUUUAUGUUUAAUCAUUUCCAAAGAAUUGUCUUAGAGUUUGGUUUUGAUUUUCCUCUUUAGAGGAGUUUGCUAAUUUGAUUGCCCUCUAUAGAAGAGUUACUUCAUUUCAAUUUUUGUUUGGAUAUACUACGUCUCUUUUGGAUCUAUGUAUGAAGGUGAAGCUAUUUAAUUUGUUGGAUCUACUUCACUUUAGUUCUAAGAUCGUGGAGGUGAUAAGGUAUCGUACUUCCUACCAAUAUAUAAUUUGAGAUUUUUUGUUUUCACAUGAUUUUUUUCUUAACAUGAUAUAUAAUAAGUUUAGGGUUCAAGUGGCAUGAACCCCUAUACAUGUUACAAGGUUUUAGUUUUGAAAUUUCUAUACCAGCCUUGUUAAUAUAUGGAUCAUCUACUAUAAUUUACCAAUUUUUCUGGAAACGAUCUGUAACAAUUAGACUUGUUUAAAAUUUAAAUACAUUUGUUUAUACUGGCAUCUAUCUGCACAUGUACAUAUAUUUAGUGAAUAAUCGUGAUCAUUAACGUCAAUUUCACAAAAUAUAAAAUUUAAAUUUAAAUAUUACCGUGAGUUAAAAAAAUAUCAAGUUAAUAAGUUUUCACCGUUUGGUGUGGUUGGUACCUGAACGUUAUAACGGGAAACUUAAAAUAUAAGAUGGACGCAUAAAAAAAUUCCUCCAAAAUUGGAAAGUAAUUAACAUUUAGUAAUACGGUCUACUGGUCUUUCUGUUCACUUGUUUGUAAGUAAAAGGUCUUAGAUUUGAUUCUCUCCAAAAACGAAUUUGAACCACACUAUUGUUAGCUUAUUGUGGGGUAAACUUACCCCCUCGCUAGUGUAGAUAAUAUCGUUUGUUAUUGCUAAAAAAAAAUAAAAUCGUUUAUUCGAAAAACAAAAUUGGAAAGUAAUUCGCUCAGAAAAUCUUACCCUCUAACAGAUCACUGUUUAAUUACGGUCAUUGCUGUUGAGAGUUCUUUCCUAUUUAUUGGGAGGUUCUUAUAUUUUCCAUGUUAAAAGGGGACGGAGCAUGCUUGGUAUGGUCAGUUUUUUUAUUUUUUUUAUAUUUUUUUUAACGAAAUAGAAGGAAAAAAGAAAAAAAAAGAAAGAAAUAGGAAUUAGGGUUCAUGCACCUCGGUGUCCCUGAAUGUAGACACCCUCUCCAUAUUUUGUUCUAUAAAUAGGGACAUAAACACAGACGAGGAGACCCAACUUUGAGACUUGAGAGAGAGAGAAUAGAGCCACAUCAAAAACUCAAGACAAAUUAAUAGCUGUGUUUUGUUAGAGCAACAGAGACAAUGUGCGGCACCACGGAGAACCCUACUUCCAAUAGCAAAACCUCCUCUGUGUCCCCGGCCAAUGGUAACGGCGGCACGAUACCGCCAUCCGACCAUGUCCUCAACCUCGAACAGUAAGUGCUCUCUUUAGCUUCGUUAUUUGGAGUAGAGAGGAUGUAACAUUUUGUUAUUUAGUGUCGUUUAAUGGCCGCGAAUCUUUCCAACAACUGAUCGUUUUGGUUAGUUUACUAAUUAGGUUAACAUGCAAUCGACAUUAAUGGUGUUUCCGGUUUUGAUGAUGACAGGGGCGACCCGGCAGUGUACGAAUCCUAUUGGAGGAAGAUGGGGGACAAAUGUACGAUGGUGAUCUCCGGAAGCGAAUUGAUGAGCUAUAUCAGCGACUUCACCAGCGUGUGCUGGUUUUUGGAGCCAGCAUUGGAGGCGGCGGUCAGAAGACUUCAUCGUACGGUUGGAAACGCCGUCGUAGACGGUGAUCGGCAUAUCGUGGUGGGGACAGGCUCGACUCAGCUGUAUCAGGCUGCCCUGUAUGCUCUCACUUCUCCUGGCGGGCCCGAGCCCGUCAGCGUUGUGUCUGCCGCCCCUUACUACUCGGUGAGGGUUCUCUACUCGUUGACAUUUGGCAAAGUUUCCCUGAUGAAAUUACGGCCGUUGAUUUUCUGUAUUUUGUUGAUCACCUGUGGAUCUUGAUUUUGGCUUUGUUAAUUAGUGAAGUCAACUCCAAAGGAUCAACAGAUUGCUGCUUCAGCGGUUGACAAUCAAUUUGGAUUACUCAGUUUAUAUUAAUUGUUUUACUUCAUAAUAUAUAUAUAUAUAUAUAUAACUUCAAACAGUUGUAUAUUAGAUAAUUUAGACUCGGUAAUUUAAACAUAACAUAUCAAAUUGUUUAACGGAUCAAUAAAACUUAAGUACAGAUAUUUAUGUCAUAGUUUUCCUUUGGCAUGCUGCGAAUGUAGUAGUAUUCGAUCUGCACUCUGCGGAAGGUGUUUUGAGUUGUGAGGGGUGAAAUUACGAGACGACUGUCGCGGAACAUGCUGAUGUUUUGCAUGGGAAAUGCGACAAAGAGGCAAAUAUGUCUUUUUGAAACAUAAUCAUGUUUGGGAACAUGCAACAAACAUAUGCACGUAGUCCUGUGUUUUGAAACCCUUGGAAAAUUAAACAUAGUAACAUGGCCAUGUCUUGUUUGUUACUAACCAGGUUACUUCCAGCCAACCUUACUUUUGGAUUCUCUACGCUCUAAUUAAUUACUUGUUUUCCUUCUAUUAAACUCCAUAUAACUUCGAUUUUUACUUAAAUUUUCAGGUCGUUAUUAACUAAGUUGUGUCAAAUAUUUACUUAAUGUUUGCAGUCAUAUCCGGAUGAAACAGACUAUAUUCGUUCUGCAUUGUAUAAAUGGGCAGGCGAUGCAUAUACCUUUAACAAAACUGGACAUGGACCUUACAUUGAAGUGGUCAACACCCCAAACAACCCCGACGGCACUAUCCGAGAGGCCAUCGUGAAGAACAGGGGUGAUCAAGGGAAGCUCAUUCAUGACCUGGCCUACUAUUGGCCUCAGUACACUCCAAUUACUUGUCCGGCCGAUCAUGACAUCAUGUACUUUACAUUCUCCAAAAGCACCGGACAUGCCGGUUCUCGCAUUGGGUGAGUCCAUGUAUAAUAAAUCAUAACGAGAAUUGUUAUUGACACUUGAAAAAAAGUUACUUUAUUCAUUUCGGCCUUGUAUUUUAUCAGAUGGGCCAUUGUGAAGGACAAAGAGGUUGCCAGAAAGAUGUCAAAGUUUGUAGAGCUAAGCUCACUUGGUGUGUCCAAGGAUUCCCAGCAACGAGCUGCUAAGAUAAUGGGAGUGAUCUGCGACGACUAUGAAAACUGCAAGUCCACUGACAACUCUGAGCUCUUCUUCGACCAUUGCCGUCGAAUCAUGGCGGACAGAUGGGAGAGGUUAAGAAAAGUGGUCGAGCAAAGUGUAAUUUUCAGCCUACCCAACUACCCCCAAAAGUACUGCAUCUUCUCUGGAGAGUCCACUGAACCAUAUCCAGGUAAAAUCAUAAUUUUUACUCUCUUUUUAUAUCUAAGUAACUAACUAAACACAUAAAAUGGGUAUUGAAAUCAUUCUGAUUCUUAAUUUCGUGUGUUUAAUGAAAUUUGGAUAGUGGCAUUAUUCCAAUUCCUGACGUCCCAUGUGUUUAUCAUCACAUAAUAAAACAAAGCGUGAGUUAGGUUCCACUUAAAGUUCGUGAUCCAAUACUUGAAAAAACAGAAAUCGCAUCAACUAAGGAGGCUAGUUAAUCUCAUACCUAUUCAUUCUUUCUGUUUCUCCGAUUCAAGACUUCCCCAUCGAUGAAAUUAUGAUAUUUAUUAAAUUGGCUCUUCUAAUGUUGGGAAUGCUUUUGUACAAUGCGCAGCAUUUGCAUGGAUGGAGGCCAAUGAGGAUGUAGACACAGAGAAGGUUCUGAGAGGACAGAUUAAGGUGCAAGGAAGAACAGGGAGGCGCUUUGGCGUUGAUCAGAGGUACGUCAGGAUUAGCAUGCUGAGCGGGGAAGACGUGUUUAACAAGUUCUUGGAGAGAUUAUCAACUAUCAAAUCCGUUACUAAUGGUCAUUAAUUAGUUUAAUCUAGUACUCAAUCACAGACCAUCGCAGAGUUAUUAUUUUCUAUUUGUAAUUCGGUUUCUUUGGUAUAAUCUGAAAUGCGGCGAAAACAAGUCUUGUUUGUAUAAGAGCAACGUACCAGAGCCUUGUUUGUAUAAGAGCAAUGUACCACAGCAAAACAGAUGAAACUGGGCGAGGCUCGAUCAAAAUAAAAGGAACUUUAACGAAAAACUCUCGGUACUAUUCACUUUAACGAAAAACCACAUUUUUACACUAAAAAGUCAAUCCUGGUAUUAUUUACUUUACUCUUUAUUUUGUCGUUAAAAUUCAGUUUUCAAACCCUUUUAUUUUGGCCUUAUCGUUAAAACUUCAAAAUUUGAUACUUAAAACCUAGGCAACCACGUCAGUAAAUGAAAUCAAAAUUAAAUAGAAGUGAGGUUUUUCCAAGACCGAUCCAAGUACACGGCAACGCGUAGGAAACGAGCCUCUGUUUCAAUACGAAUCUCAAUUGAGGAGAGAAAAGAUAAGAAAAAAAUAUGUACUAAUUCGGACAGGUCCCCAAACAAACAAAAAUUGAAUAGGAAAAAUGACAGCCAGACAGAAUCCAAAACCAAAAUAACAAAAUCUUAUUUCAACGUACUGAAUAAAUCUACCUUCCGGUAACGAUAAACAUACAACAUUGUUGGAUAAACCUUCAUUGUACAUGCACAAAAGCAAAGGCCAGAUAAUUCAUUCUCAACAAACUGCGAUCACUACUGAUCGCAGGCAACGGGCAAUCAAAGCCGGUCUAUCUAUCCAUCAGUUUUGGGUUUGAACCAUUCAGGAUCGUACGUGAAUGCUGCACCCCAGAAGACACCGUGCAGGGGCAACUUUAUACUAGUCUUAAUUCAUACUCGCCGGCCAUGGUUAUGUAUCUCACCCAUGGAAGAGCUUGGUAUCCGCUUUUUUCAAUAAUCUUGAGGUAACGAACCUACAAAACCCGAAUUUGCUUAUAAGAAAACCGCACACAACAAAUUCCUAGCUCUAUGAUGGCUUAUUUAACAUGUUGACAUCUGGAAUACAAAUUCUAUAGUUGCUCUGGGAUAUCAUCAUAUCAGGCCCUAAAACCAUUUCACCAUUGUUUGAAUAUUAGACAAGCCAUUCAAAUAACUGUUAACAAGUUUAUGGUAGAAAGAGAUCGGAAUGUCCCCAAAAUAGAGCAAAGCAAUCAAUCCAUAAAGGAAUACCUGUAUUCCAGAAACAGUAAAAUAUGGUAUCUCGAACUUCACACGUAUAGGAGCUUUUCUCUCAGGAGUUGAUUCUUCAGCCGUUACACUUGGAAGGCGAAACUCUGCUCUCAACAUGUAUUCCUAGGCAAUUUGGAUUACAAACAAGAUCAAUAAAAGGGGCUAAAGUGCACGGCACAAGAUACAACAAGAUAGUCUUCUUAGACUAGCAAUAAGACGAGUCCACACCUUGCCUCCAGGAAAAGAUCUUAUUUUCCAGAUAAGCGCAUCACUUUCAGGUGCAUAUGCUGCAGAUCCUAAUGAUGUCCGAACAUCUGGAUUAGUUGCAUCAGAUACCACAGGCACCUCAAUCUCAACAUUUGUAGCAGUGCUGUGCAGUUAAAUUUUCAUGAGUACUAAGGGAAUAAACAUUUGGGUGCCCAAAGCACAAAGCAAUUGACCAAAUAACUUUUUCAAUACCUACGCUCCUUGAACUGACUUCUAGCUUUUACCAGAAUCUCAAUGCGACUUUUUGAAUGCCUUUCAAUUUGACAUUCAACCCAAAUUAAAGGCUUAACCUGAAAGGGAAAAUGACAACAAUUAAUUGGAAUGAUGUAAGCAGUAAAUAAACCUCCCCUCACCACUAAAUGCGUCCGCAGACACAAAGAAAAUAAAACAGAAUCAGCAGAGCAUGAGGGAUACCUGUGUACUCAGCCUAUAUGUCAUGAGAUCAAAAGCUCCAUCAGGUGGUACAAAGGAUAUUGUCCGGUCAUUUUCAAACCGAGCCAAACGGACACACCUAAAACAAAUUUUAUGAUUUAAUGUAAGGACUUGCAGGAAGAUUAGUUUAUGUAAAAUCUCAAACACUUGUACGACACAAAUGCAGCACUCAGAUAAAUCAAGGAAAGCUACAUACUGAUGAAAUUUGAUGUCUUCCAAAUCAAUGGCUUUUCCUUUUGUUGCUCGGCCUUGUGCCUCCAAUAACACUCUAUCAUUUAAGCCCAGCUUACACUCGGGCAUACCACUGCAAGCAAAAUGAGUAAGCACUAGUUGCCAGAUGGUAUCAGCAUAUAAAACAGAUCACUCUAGAUCACUCUUAAGAUGUAAAUAGAAAUUAAGUCCCUCUUGUGUUCUUCAGAGAAUUUCCCCAAACCCUAGUUUUAUCUUUCUGUGAACUGGUUUAUGACUUCAAUCAAGUUAGUGUCCUCCACGAAACAGAGUACUCAACAAGAGAAAUUGAAACUACGAUUUAUACCAUUGUCCUCAUAAACAUGGUUUCUUUAUACGAAUGAAUUAUAACUCUAGCAUAAACCAAACAACAAGCUAGCAAAUCUUAAACGGACUUCACUUGGUAUUUGGAAAGCAUAUUCAGUGAAAAAGGCACAAGUUAGAAUGCUAAAGCACAGAUAUAAAUUUAACUGGGUUAGGACGGAAAAACACCUCAAAUAAGUUCUCAUCUUCAAUGCACCAACAACAUCCGACCUAAUGAUUUGUCCAUUGCUGUUAACAAGUAUAUUAACACUCUCCACCACAUCCAGGAAAACCUUGAAAAAAAAAAAAGAAAGGCAAGUCAUCCACUGGUUGUGGCAUCAAAACCAGCGGCAUCAAAGAAGAAUAAGAAGUCUUCAUUUUUCCUAAUGCACGUACCUCAUUCUUCUUGUAACGUAUCCCUUCACUUCGCCAAGACACUGCAUUUGUUACAGCCAUGGGAGGUCUCUGUGUAACUUCCAUCCUGUAAGCAUCAGUCUUGAUAAAUUCACUGAGAAUCUUGGCCUCAGUAUACUGAGGGUAACCAAAGUCCAUCAUUUCAUCCAGCAACUCAUACUUCAAACAAAGGACAAAAAAAUAACAUCAAAUCGCAAUGUUUCACGACCAAAAUUAAGCAAAAUGAAUGGCACAAACAUCUCCUUACCACAACCACAAAGUUAUCCCUGAGCGAUUCCUCUUCUAACUCUUCAAAGUAAUGCUUGAACACCUGCCGUCCAAUAAUCAAUUUACUAAUUACGCAAUUCAUAGGUGCAUAAACAAACAACGACGAAUGAGGAACGAAACUUAUCAUAAUUACCAAUAGAGCUUACAUCGACUAUGCGGUGUAGAAAGAAAAGAAGACUAGCGGCAUUGCAGUUCUGCCGGGACGCAGCCAUCAAGUAAACAUUGUUAUGCUGUAUAAACAAGUAGCUCACGCCAUUAUCAUGAACAACUGGAUCAUGAGACUCCGGAUCAACCUGAACCGCAUCGCAACAAGCACGAAAAGAAAAAAAAAUGCCAGUAUCAAUUUCUACUCUAACAUAACAGAUGAAAUCCAAAUUGGCCUCACUAAUUUCGGAAUCAACUGAUAAAAAAAAGGGAAUAAUUUAUCAAUAAACGACAAUUUGGUUUCGUUUUCUCAGCAACCAAUCAGUUCCUCAAACAACUAAGAAACAUAAAGUGCAUAAUCCGGGGAAAAUUGAGUAAAUUUGGGUAAGAAGAAGCUUUAUUGGACCUCUUUCUCGAUGAGCUUAGUGAAGAAGCGCUCAGCUUGAGCGGCGGAGACGUCGCCGCGGUAGUCGCGCCAGAUGAGAACGCGGCCUUUGAUGUCUAGGAGGAACAGCGCCGAGACUGCCCCUGCCAUGAGAUCUGAUCGGCGGUUGCAGCAACUGGAUGCGAUCUGAUUCGGAUAUAGCAGCGGAGUCGAUUGGCGUAGUAAUAGAUCUCAAUCUGAAUCUUGAGGCUUUAGGAUUUAGGCGUUAGGGUUCCGUUCGCCGUCUGCUACUACGGUUGGAACAUCAACCGCCAUCUUCAAUCUCUCUCAGAGUCUGAAGAAGAGGAAGGAGUCUUGAGUUUUGGAAAUGGAGGUGUUCGCGGUGAAUAUUUUGCUUUUUCCGGACGUUAGAGACCCGCGUCUCUCUCUUCUCUACGACGCCGUUUCAUGUUAAACUCCAAGGUAAUGUACAAUUCAAUUACCAUUCAGGAUUUCCCUUUCUAAUAUUAAUUUGGAAAUUGAUGUUUUACAUACAAACAACCAUCCUUUUUCAUAUGUUUAUAAUGUCUUGUUGUAUUUUAGAAUAUAGGCUCGUUUAGAAGUGUAUUUAAAAUGGCUAAAAGCGUUUAUGGUGAAAAUAUUUUUGGGAUUAAUGCUUAGAAAAAAUGCAAUAUGAAAAAGUACUUAAAGUGCUUUCUAUAAGAAGAAGCAUUUCAAGUGUUUUUUUUUUUUACUUUUCCACCUUAUAUGCCAAAUAUCGAUUAAGUACAAACGAGCUAGAAUAUAACACAACAUGGUUACAUAGAUCUCCCGUCCGUUAGUCUUAAGAGGGGGGGGGGGGGGGGGGGGGGGAGAAAUACAACAAACUAUCUGGAAAUUCACUUGAUAAAUCAUGAACUUCAAUCCAAUGCGGUUUACAGGGUUUGGAUCAUCUUCCAGUGAAUUGAAAUACACCACUGAAAACCUGGCUGUUGCCACCCAGUGUUGCUUCCCACUCGAUCGAAGAUGUCGCAAUCUGCGAGAGCAUCACAACAAUCUCCCUCAUCUCUGGCCUCUCCACUGCUUCUUCACUCAUACACCACUCUGCAAUUUCUGCCAUCUGCAACCAAAGUAAUGUUUUUACUCACUUUAAUCGAAAUUUUUUGGAAGAAGCGUUUCCUCCUUCCAAAAUUUUUUAUCAAAAAUGUUUUGACAAAUUACAAUUUGACACGUGUGCAGAAACUUUUUGUUUUGUUGUGUCAAUCUGUGAUUUGCAGUUAGGGCGGAGUGGCUCCUUAACUGUAACGAGCCAAGCAGUAUACAUUAGAUCACCUUGAACAUGUCCUCCAUAGGAUAGUUGCUUCUGAGGUUUCCAUCUGUGGCAGCCUCUAAAGCUGCUUCUGGAUGAUCAUCUUGGAACACCUUUUUUAUCUGACAAAAUGAGUAGCAAAUCAAUCAAAUUUGUAUUGUACUACUAGUGAUCAGGGACAUGCAGAGUCUUUGUUCAAGUCGGGUUGAAACUUACGACUGUAAUUAAGGAUUUCAUCUUCCCAGGCUCUCGAUUGUCACGGAAAAGCGCACGUUGCCCUGUGAUCAGCUCUGCUAGUACCACUCCGAAUGCAAACACAUCGGUUUUGUGAGUCACCUGGAGCUCCUUCACGGAUCUUUCAGAAUUAACACAUACACAGUCAGAUACAUGAAAAACUAGGGCAAACUUGCUUCCAUGUGCAGGUAAACUCGAACGAAGCUUACUCUGGGGGAAGAUAGCCCGGUGUUCCAACCAGCCGUGUUGCGAAAACAUCUUCUUCAUUGGUUCUUCCAACAAGCUUUGCCAAGCCAAAAUCUGCUACCUACAGAAAAUGGAUUUUAAGCUACUAAUUAGAAGAAAGAACUUAUUCUAUCUUUUAACAGAAAUGAUAUAACGAUUCAUGUUUCAGGUAUACCUUUGCUCUGAACCCCUCGUCAAGUAGAAUGUUACUAGUCUUUAUAUCACGGUGCACAUAUCGCGCUUUUGUGUGGUCAUGAAUGUACUCAAUACCUUUUGCAGCGUCCACUGCAAUUUGUGUUCUUGCAGUCCAAGAAAGUGGCUGAUGACCUGAUUUAAUUCGUUUGGUUAGCUUCGCACAUAAACACUAGAGAGGCGUGUGCGCGCAAUGAUCUGAGUACCUUUAAGUAAAGGAUCAUGAAGAUGUUCGCUCAGCGAUCCAUUCUGGACAUACUCAUAGACCAGGUAGAGGUGGUCAUCUCCACUGGCAUACCCCAAAAGCUCCACCUAAAACAGAUUUUUAAACAAGUGAUUAGACUAAAAGCACUUCCUUUCGCACCGUGUUAGAGGUCAAUUUAUUCCGAAAUGAUUGCUCACCACGUUAAUGUGAUGGAUCUUGCACAAGACCUUUAGCUCUGCAAAAAAUUCUUUGGUACUAUUAGACUUCAUCUUCUUUAUGGCAACCUCCUGAAAGUUGAACAUUUAUAGCUUAGUUUCAUAGCUUUUUUCGAGUAGAAACGGAGAAAAUUUGUGGGGUUCUUGCCAUACCUUCCCCCUUAUUACUCCGAGGAACACGCUACCAUAUCCACCCUCUCCGAUUUUCUUAGUUUCAUCGAAGUAACCGGUUGCCUCCUCAAUCUCCUCAAGGCUGAAUAUGACCAGUCCGUCUGAUUCAAAAAUUGCCACAUCUAUGAAAUAAACAAUGUAGAUUUAUUGUCAUGAGCAGAAAUUUCUCUCUUUCAGGCAUACUAACAUGCACAAAUUAUUACAUUACAGAGAUGCUGCUGGAGUUUUAUCUGACCUCCCAUGUUUUCUUUAUGAAGCAACUGAUUAUGCAACGACAAGGAUCGGUGAGGAGCCGAGCUUUUCGAGCUUUUCAAGCUUGUCGAUACAGGUUUAUCUGGAACUUCCACAUUUUGUUCCGGUUUUCUUCUCCGAUAAAGGAUAAAGAUCAAUGUGCUGAUUGAAAGCAAUGUCACAGCUAAUAAAAUUGCAACCAAUAUUGACCACUUGUGUCUGAAUCCUGAUGAUCAAAACAAAGGGAACAUGGAUCAACUCGGACAGAAAAUAAUCUGUGAAUUUUCUGAAAUUCUUGUAUAAACUUACGUAUGUAAGAUUACAAACAUACGUAAUCUGAUUUCUACUAAAUUUCGACUUGAUUCAGAACUUAUUUUUUGUUGAAAAAUGUAAAAGUCAGAUAUCAAAAACCCCAAAAAACUAAAGAAUAACAUAUCAUGAGUGAUUCCACCAUUGCUAAUUGCAUCAAAGCCUUUUGUAUAAAACUGUGCUCGGACAGUCCGUCUCUCCGACAUCUUAACACACAGAAACAUUGAAUCUUUACUUUUCAAACUGUGGACACAGAUUUUUUGAUAUUUCAGUCAAAUGAAAUCAACUCAAGAAGUUCUUAAAGAGAGCUCUCACCUGGCUUUGAUGUUCUGAGUCCAUUCUUUUCCAUGGGGACAAACAACACCCAACCCACAACUAUGUAUGAAGGAUUCUCGGUCAUAUUUUUGUUCAUUUUUUCAAUGUUUUCAAUCUUCGCAGACAGUAGCGUGCCAAUAUCCGACAGUGUAUCAUGCUCCUGAACUGUAUAUGUCACCACAAUCUGAGACUGGCUUUGUACGCAACCGCAUGGGAGAUGGAUGGGAAAAUCAGCGUCUGUUUUAAACUGCGGUAUCUCUUCUUCGAUAUACAAAGGCUGCCCGCUGUAAAUCUUCGUCGACACAUUAUAAAACGUGUCAAAUUGUUUCACCUUGUAGGUCGUGUCAUAGAAGUAUCCAACAGUGCCGGAUAUGUUUUUGCAAGAACAAGGCACACUUAUCAGGUAAUCUUGCUUCUUGUUGUGCUUUAUAGGUCUGAUUUCGGAUGGAUUCACGGUGUACAAAGUGGCAAUUUCUUCUACCUUCAGAUCGAUGUUGAUGUGGUAGAGCGAGGCGUUACAUGUCAUGAUUUUCGCAGAGCAACUCAAAGGGUUUACGAGAGCAGACCUGAUGGAUGCAUCGGCAGCGAAAACUGCAGAAAAUAGACUAAGAAAUAGGGAGAGGAGCAUGCAUGGAAGGAGGAGAUGGGGGGAUGCCAUGGCUGUGGGAUGGUGGACUGUCAAGAUUUCAGAGAGACGGGCGAAAACAUAGUUUCAAAGAAUCAAAGCACAGUUUAUUUUUGUUUGUUUCUCAAUUAACACAAAGAGAUGUAAUUGCAAAGACAGCUGAGUUCAUAUUUUUGUAAGCAUCGACGAAAAUUAUGACUUUCAUCAGAUUUUUGUCUGGUUUUGGGGGGAGUUUGGUUAUAUUAGUUAUUUCAUGUUCAACUGCAACAUAUACCAGCUAUUUGGACUGUCAUGCUGAGAUAAACGCGGAACCUUUUUGGAUUUUGGGUGCUGCGCCUGCUAGACCGAAUGAAUAUGUGCACCGUUCCAACCAAGGCUUAUCAAUUGAUUUUCCUUGCAAUUGUCAUUUGGUCUCAUUUUAAACUUAUUUUGUCUCUCGACACUGCUAUUUUCGUUACAUUUAGUCUCAUUUCACCAAAUUUAGUCAACUUUGUCAAACAAGUCUUAAAUUAAAAAGUAGUAUGAACAUUGACCGUCGACUGAACUUAAGGAUUGAAUUUACAAGCCUAAAUUUCUUCCUUCCCUUUCACUUAAUUUGUUUUUCCAAUUUUUCUUGCCGCUAAAUUAAAGUUUGUUUUUUUAUCACUACUUAUUUACCAAGCCGCUUGGUAAAUACGUGGUGAUCAACCAAAAUUCUCAUGUAAGUGCCACGUCGUCAAGCAUGGGGCUUAUCUUUACUUGAGUAACAACAAAAUGUCCAUACUACUUUUUAAUUUAACUUCUGUUUGAUGGAAUGGAAGAAAAUCAUAGUUUCAAGGGGCAAAGACAAAAUAAGUCUCAAGAUGACGAAAAUCACCGUUUCAAUUAAUAAGCCUUCCAUAACUAGUGUGAUAUUUUGUUACAAGACUAUUUUAAUCUUAAAUACAAACGAGUAAGCACACUCUCUGAUUAACUGACCUAACUCACGUCCACAAAUAAUGUCACUCUUUAUAAUUCACAAGCCUAAAUUUCUUCCUUCCCUUUCACUUAAUUUGUUUUUCCAAUUUUUCUUGCCGCUAAAUUAAAGUUUGUUUUUUUUAUCACUACUUAUUUACCAAGCCGCUUGGUAAAUACGUGGUGAUCAACCAAAAUUCUCAUGUAAGUGCCACGUUGUCAAGCAUGGGGCUUAUCUUUACUUGAGUAACAACAAAAUGUCCAUACUACAUUUUAAUUUAACUUUUGUUUGAUGGAAUGGAAGAAAAUCAUAGUUUCAUGGGGCAAAGACAAAAUAAGUCUCAAGAUGACGAAAAUCACCGUUUCAAUUAAUAAGCCUUCCAUAACUAGUGUGAUAUUUUGUUACAAGACUAUUUUAAUCUUAAAUACAAACGAGUAAGCAUACUCUCUGAUUAACUGACCUAACUCACGUCUACAAAUAAUGUCACUCUUUAUAAAUCUAAUAACAGAUGUGAUCUGACGGUUCAAGAUUAACCACCGAUCGAUAUAGACAGAGAGAACUAGCUUGUUGCUUCAUUGUAACUUAUGACAUUAUUAUGCAGUUUAUUAUUAAUAAAAGUUGUGAGUCAGUAGCUCAUGCACAGUCAUGAAAUAGUAGACAGCUUUGUUCUUGCCGUCUGUAAAGCAUGGUUGGCCGUUUAGAUAUAUGCUUAUGCUUUAAUUUUGUCACUAACCAGAAUUAGUAGACAACUUUUGUCACAGUGUAUUGCUCAAGAAUAUUGUUCUUGGCCGUUGAAAUAGUACACAACUUUUGUCACAGUCAUGAAUAUUGUUCUUGGCCGUUAAAAUAGUAGACAACUUUUUUCUUUCUUUGUUUUUAAUUAACCGGGGGGGGGGGGGGGGGGCACGCGGCCGUCCAUGUUCUGGAUUUCUGAAACAGUAUAUUGUUCUUGAGCAAUUAAAUAUAUGCUUAUGCUUUAAUUUUGUCACUAAUCAGAAUUAUAUACCUUGAGAACUCUGCUAAGAGCUAGCUAAGCACUGGUGUGUCCUUUUCGUAUCUACUUCUACCUUUAUCUGGUGUCGUUCGACUGGAAAUUAGCUAGCGAUACGAAGAGCUAAUUAACGUUUAAUUGUGGAUGGUUAGGGUAGGUAAUCAUGGAGUUAGGGAUUAGUUCUUCGGAGUUAUGUGCCCGCUAAGAGAAAACAUAUUUAGAGACUUUGAUGCAAGAAGUCAAUGCGUCUUUGGGAGGGAGGAAGCAGGCUGGCAAUUUUAAUUCGCCAAGUUACUGUCAAGUUUGUCAAUUAUAAUUUGUUUAAAAAUCUAUAAUAUAUUUCAUUGGAGCAUGCGUUUACCUCAGUCACAGUCAUGGUACAAUAAUAAAAGGACGAAUUGUAGACGAUGUAGUCAAGUUGGUUAGAGCAAUAUACUCAUGUUCAAAUCUUCAUUCUUAUAGUUUAGAUAUUAGAUUAAUUAGAAUAUGUCAUAACUUCUCAUUUUGGUCCCUGAGAUUUAAAAUCGAUAUAAGUGAUCUUUGAGAUUGUCAAUCGUCAAUCAUUUUUGUCAUUAUAUGAGAAAUCUUCGUUAAUUUAAGGGUAUCUUUGUCAAAUUAACCCCUCCCCUUGAACUAGUGGUUUCUUCAAUUGAAGAUUUUUCACAUGAAGACCACAAUGAUUGACGGUGAACAAUAUAAAAAACCAUGUAUAUUGAUUUUAAAUCUUAAAGACCAAAAUGAUAAGUUGUUACUAUUUCAGAGAUCAUUUGGAAUAAAAAGCCUUAAAUAAAGGAAACUUGUGAAACAAGUAUACAACAAGAAAAUAGAAAGAAAAUCAACUUGUGAAUGUUUGUUAACUAAUUACAGGAAAAUAUUUGAGCCCUAAACAUUUGCUAUUUUCCCGCCAACGUAAGAAAACCUCUGCUACUUUUGGACUUUGCUGCCAUCUUGUGACCGGCGAGGGGGCAACAGAAGAAGCAGCGGUGGACAAAAUUCCUACUUGUCACUCUACCACCCUCUCGCCAAGGAAGGCAGGCAACCAUCCAUGAUUCACCGGUACGUAGUUUGAUUGUGACAUUUGCAAUUAAUUAAGAAAAGCAUUAGUCACUAAUCGCCAUCAAUCGCAUUAAUUAAUUAACACACAUAGACAUUAUGCGUCGUCUAAUGAUCAUCGAGACAAUCAUCUUCACCUUAAGCAUCGUUAUCGUCGUCAUCAUCGCUCCUUGUACAGAGGCAGCUGGAAAAGGCCUUGGGAACGGCUUAAAUGUAGGUUUCUACAGUCGCAGUUGCCCGAAUGUGGAGAAAAUUGUGGCUGACAUCGUGUCCGAGGCUAACCGGCAAGAUCCAAAGCUCCCCGGUGCCCUCAUUCGCCUCUUUUCCCAUGAUUGCUUUGUCAAGGUACGCACAGCAUUGUACUAUUUAUAUCAUCUCAACUGACAUGCCAGACAUCUCGCUAAUAGGGACGAGAUCCACCUACAUUGAGACCUACAUGUUCGAUUCUCGUACAAAACGUAGUCAGUCAGUUAAGAUGGUACAAAUAUCGCGUAGUAUUUUAUUGUCUAGAUUGGUUGAGUUCACCCCCUUGAGGCUUUUAACAAUUACAAUUUACAGGGCUGCGAUGCCUCAAUUCUGUUGGAGACCACACGCUCAAAGGAGCCUGUAGAGAAAAAAGCACAAGGAAAUGACUUCAUUAGAGGUUUUGAACUCAUUGAUGAGAUCAAGGCCAGGCUAGAACAAGAGUGCCCGCAAACCGUCUCUUGCGCCGACAUACUAGCCUUUGCUGCUCGGGAAGCUGUUUUUCUGGCUGGUCUACCCCGCCACAAAGUCCCCGCUGGACGCCGCGACAGUCGUACUUCCCGUGCUUCCGAUGUUGGCCUCCCUGCUCCUACAACACCUUUCAACGAUAUCAUAGAUUUCUUCACCAGAAAAGGCAUCACCCUCGACGAACUGGUUGUGUUGAGCGGUGCACACUCCAUCGGGGUGGCCCAUUGUAGCUUCUUUGAUUACAGACUCUACAAUUUCAACACAUCUCAGCCCCAAGACCCUGCCCUCAACUCAACCUACGCUGCUGAUCUGUCCACAAAGUGCCCGAAACAAAAUACAUUGCCUGCAGACGAAGCGAAAAAGAGGGCCGUGGACUUCGAUCCAAUAACACCACUUGUUCUGGACAACAACUUCUACCUGAACCUUUUGCAAGGGAAAACCUUGCUCCAGUCGGAUCAGAUAAUGGUUUCUGAUCCUCGCACCAGCGCGUUGGUAAAGACAUUGGCCUCGGAUUCUGAAGCUUGGAGUCGAAGGUUUGCCAAGGCCAUGAUCAAGAUGGGGCGAACAAACGUUCUCACUCGAGAUGAGGGAGAGAUAAGGAAAAAUUGCAGAACCUUUAACUAACAUUAUGACCAAUUGUGUAUAUCCAUAUGGUGUAAAAAGUAAUUGUGUACAUAAUAUCCAUGUAGUGUAUCGAAUCCACUCGGGCACUUUCCCUGCAAGUUUAGUCAUGCACAACGACGUCGUACAUGUCACGACCAAAGAUUUUAUUUUUAAUAUAUGAAACAGGAAUUGAUCAAGAAUGUAAUUUAGAAGGACUCAAUUGACCAGAAAAAGAAACUUUGAAGUUAUUCUUAAUAAAGACGUUACUCUUAUCAUCUAGUUAUGUUAUCGUUUGUAUCAUCUUUUUAAUAGAAAUGAGGCCCACAUGUGUUGGUGGGCUCGCACCUCUAUUAGAGAGACGGCACAAAUAAAUGAUAGGGCAUUACUCAUUAUUGUAGGCAUGCAACGCUAACUAAGAUUGACUAGAGUUUCAUCCCUGUUGUAUGGAAACCUCCUAUGGUGGGGUGGAUCAAGGUAAAUACUGAUGGGUCUUUCAAGUCUAUAGGCCGUGUGGGCUAUAUGCGUGUUGAUUGGAGCAAUUGCCUAUGGCGUAUUAGGCAUAUGCGUGUUUUUGUUUCCCAUAUGUUUCGCGAUGACAACUGUGUGGCUUAGGCCUUAGCUAACUUUGGUGCAAAUCAUGCUGCAUAUUGUUGGUGGUCUAAUGUUCCUUCAUGUGCAGCUUCUGCUUUCAUGAUAUUUCUGCUUCUACCAAAUAUCAUUUCAGAUGAUUUUUACUAUAUGUUUUCUUUGUACGUGGGGUUGAUUUUUGAUUUCCUGGCCGUAUUAAUUACUUGCUAUAUUUUUUCCUCAACGAGGUUUGGCUUUAUGUUCUCUUUGUUUGUAUUUCUCCUUUUAUUUUAAUAAGAUUAUGGGAAUGAUCGGUCAACCACUAUAUCCCAUCUUUUAGAGGAAAAAAAAAGUUUUAAUGAAACACUUCAGUAUUGUUCAUUUUUAACAAAAAAGACAUAUUUACCUUAAAAAGUCACUCCUGGUACUAUUUACUUACAACACAUUUUUGUCCUUUUGAUUAAAACCCAAAGUCUUCAAAUCAUUUUCAUUAUUUUUUCUAAAAUAAAAAGCACAGAAAUUUAUAAAGGGGCAAAAAACAUAUAUGGUCCUCUUCCAACGCCCUUUUUCUGGGGAGAAUGCCGAUUUGCCGCAAAGAACUUCCUCUGUCUCCUUUGUUUUUUCAUUUUUUCUUUUCUUCUUUUUCAGAUCCAUGGUGUUAAAAUUGCUUCACUACUUCUAAAUAUUAUGCUCAAAUUCUAUCACUUAAUUAAAUACGUAAUGAGGGUAACCCUUAUGUUUAAGGACUCAUAUGCGGAAGAAUGCAUGAGAACAUGUAAUGGCAGUUUCCAUCAAAAUAAAAACUUGCAAAAUAUUAUAAUAUCAUUUGCUAAAAAAAUGCAUCAGUUAUAGUUCUAUGAAAUUUUUUGAAAAAUACCAAUUAACUAUUGUAGAAAACUAUUCAGAAGUUGUAGUUAUGUGAAAUUUUCAUCAUGGUCGUCUUGAUUGUAGCCUUGUAGGUUUCUCAAUUAAGAAAUUAAUUUGACAAUUUGAUCGACUUAAUUUCCAUCAGAAUGAAUACCUCUUAAUAUUUUCUCAUGCUCUCGGGUUGGGAUAUGAAAAUAAUCAAACCACAAAAAAGAAAAAAAAAAGAACAAAAAGGAACAGACAGAAAGAGCCUAUCUAUGUGGCUUUUGAUUUUCAAUUUGAGGGUACUUCGUUUAAUUGAUAUGAGGUUUUGACUAUAAAUGACAACAUUUUUAAAUUUAGGAGUUAAAUUUUGACUAUAAACGAUAUAGUAUCCAUUAAUCAAAAAGAGCCGAACAAAUGGUGAAAAAAAAAAAACCAUCUUUCUAUAGUAUUGCAAUUUUAACCACGAAUAACGAGGUAAAACAAAGGCAAACCUAAGUCACUCACUUUGUAUAUAAACACAGCCCCGCAUCGUGUCUCCGUCGUGACUGUGGCACAAAAAGAGAAAGAAACCAAACAAUUCUCUCUAAGGUUGUGCCACUUCAAGUCACAAACAGUCACCGAUCUUCUACCGGGGAGAUGGGUAGUCGUUUAAUUGCCGCGCCGGUUUUUGCCGUCACCUUGUGCUCCAUGAUCGUCGUUGCUUAUUCGGCAGAUGUGAACAACCCGGGGAACGGGUUGCAUGUUGGAUUUUACAAUCGGAAAUGUCCCAAUUUGGAGAAAAUUGUGAUUGACGUUGUGGCCAAGGCUGUAGAGAAGGACCGAAAGCUUCCUGCUGCCCUCAUUCGCCUCUUCUUCCACGAUUGCUUUGUCAAGGUAAAUACAGUUUACUGUGCCUAUUGGGAUAACGCCUUGAUUCCUUACAUGUAAUAUAUCAUUUGUGGCAAUGCCGUUUAGGGUCAUGCAUGUCAAAUUGUGAUUAUUACUUAAAAUAUAUUCAUGAAUGUACAUACAGGGCUGUGAUGCGUCACUUCUGCUGGAUGUCACACCCUCUGGCGAGCCCGUAGAGAUGCUAUCACCGGCCAGCUUCGGGGUCCGAGGUUUAGAAGUCAUUGAUCAGAUCAAGGCUAGGGUAGAAAAGGAGUGCCCGGGAACCGUCUCAUGUGCCGACAUUUUAGCUUUUGCCUCACGGGAAGCUGUGGCUCUGUCCGGUUUGCCUCGUUACGAAGUCCCUGCUGGACGCCGCGACAGCCGCACUUCCCGUGCCUCCGACGUCAUACUUCCUUCUCCCACAACACCUCUGAAGGAGCUCAUAGACUUCUUCUCCAGAAAAGGCUUGAGCCUUGAGGAAAUGGUUGCCUUGUCUGGAGCGCACUCCAUCGGCACCGUCCACUGCAGCUUCUUCGAUUACAGGAUGUACAAUUUCGCACCAGGUAAGCCGAAAGACCCUUCACUAAACGAAGUGUUUGCGGCUCAGCUUGCUCAACAGUGCCCUGCACCCAACGCAUUGCCCGCGGAGGAGGCUAAAAAGAGGGCUGUUGACUCAGACCCCACCACACCGCUCGUCCUGGACAAUCACUACUACAAGAGCCUGAUGCAGGGGAGAGGAUUGAUGGAGUCGGAUCAGGUUUUGGUGAUCGACCCUCGCACCAGAGGGGUGGUGGAGAAACUGGCUAGGUCUGAUUCUUUUGCUCGGGCAUUUGCAAACGCCAUGAUUAAGAUGGGGAGAAUCAAUGUUCUCACUGAAGAUCAAGGAGAGAUACGGAAAAAUUGUCGGAAAUUUAUCUAACUGACUAGGAGCACAUGUUUCAGCUCUUAAUUCUUAAACAUCAAUUGUGGCUUGGCUUGGAAGAACCUUGUUGUAUUUUUGUAACAAUUACUGUUCUUGUUGACUGACUUAUUUGCUGAUUGAUUUUUCCGUGUAACCUUAGCGAAGCCAAUCACGGGGUUACCAAUUCAUUCAUGUUGUAAUAUGUGCAUCUUGUCGAAUUAUGAGAGAGAGAGAGAGCCAAAUGCCCACUUCUAACAACAUCGAUGUUAUCUCCAACUUAAUAAUUACAACAUGGCCAAUCACGGGGUUACCAAUUCAUUCAUGUUACAACACUUGUAUCUUGUCAAAUUAUCAAAGAGACAGGCCAAAGACCCACUUCCAACAUACUACGAUAUUGUCCCCAACUUAGGAGGAUUCACCCUACACGCAGGGUCAAGGGACCCACCAUCAUCGCACUGGGCCAAUGGGACAUGCUCCCUGCCUCUGAUACCAUGUUAAUUUAGGCUUAUUUUGGAGUUUCAAUUCUUGAUAUUAUUCUUCUCAAGGAGGCAAAUAUAUAUUACUGACUUGAUUUAUAAGGUAAGAAUGUGCAAUAAUAUUUACUCUAAUUAUACGAACUCAAACGGGAAUAAAAUCCCCCUAAUUACACAAAAGUCAACUCAUUCCAACACUUACCACAUAUGGAAGUUAAACAUAAAAUUUCUUACUCACAAACGACUGAUAUAUCAUUAGAAUGUAUUACUAAUGACAACCUUCCAGAAUUCUUUUUUAAAAUACCUUGAAUUUCAACUUUCAACCUAAACCAUAUGAUUAAAAGAGAAGAAAAAGCAGAUAAAAUAAAAUGAAAUGGUUAAAGCUUUAUAUACAAAAAAAUUGAAAUAAAACUAGAGAGUCGUAUCAACCCCCAUUUCACUGAUAACUCUCUCCAUGUUACUCAACAUAUCUGGAAAAUAACAGGGAAGAAAUAAAUAAUUAGAAACAAAUUACCAUUUCAUGCGUUGCAAUAAUUCUCAGAGAAGAAAAAAAGAAAAGUGAAGCUACUACCUUGGGGGGAAGCAUCUCCCCUGUAACUCUGCUACAUAACAAACAUUUGUGUUAAUACUUCAUCACAUGGAAUCACAUUGUUCUACUGACGAAGAAAAUUGUCUAUGACGAGAAACUUUGAGGUGUUAGAAAUAGUUACUGCGAGUUGGGAUAUGAGAAUGACUUCUUGUGAUACAAAUGAUUGUGCUGCCAUUGAAUCAUUCAAUCAAGGACAAAUUUUCCGUUGAAUAAAAUUUCGGUUUACUGCUAAGGUCGCGAAUGUACCUUGUUCAAAAACAGGUUGAGAGUUCCCAAGUCAUGAGGUGAAAUUUGGAGGCAUGAUAUGGGAGUUGAGAUUGACAGACUCUGAUACAGUUGAUUGAGCUGCGCGUACAUUCAAUCAUGAUUAAUGGUAGUAAAAUUUCUGGUUAUCUGCAAAGGCGUACAUUCUACCUUGUUUAAUUGUCUAAAAAUAAAUAUAAUUUACCUUGUUCAACGGUGCCGCGAUAGUCAUUCAGCUAUGUGGUGAAACCUGGACGAACGGCUGGAAAGUUUUGUUGAAAGUUAUGAAUAUGCAUCAUCGGAUGAGCAUAUGAGUAGUGCUCACCUGCAUUGCCGAAGCUUGGCAGUAUUUGAGUGGUAUAAGUCUGAACCGGAGUCAUGAUAAAGCGUGUACAAACCCUGGAAACUCAGCAAAACACCAUCGCAGCUCAAGGGGAAACGAAGAAUUUAGGAGAUUGCAGGUUUUGUAUUUACUGGUCGAGGGGUGGCCUAGCCGAAUAAACGAACUCACACUGUGCUGAAACUUCAGAUUCCAUGUCAGUAUUAAGAGGUUCAAUGUCGAAGAUCCCCUGAAAAACAAAACCAAUCGUAACUCUAUUACCAUUGCAAUACAAAGGAAAAGAUAUUUCAUCUACUAACACACUGGAUUUUGUUUGCAGUAAUGAUUUCACCUUCAAAGAGAUCAUAAAUCUCUCUGCCUCAUCGACUGACAAAAAUCGCAACGCAAACUUCUGGACCUGCAAACAAGAUCUUAGUUAACACAAGGGCAUUGUGAGUUCUUGUAGCAAAAAAAAAAAAAAAGCAUUGCGCAGCUUGCCUCGCCCACACAGUCUCGAUAGCUGACAAGCACUCUGGUACCCUUGGAAGGAAGUCGCGGGUUGCAUGAAACGUGAGGCCAAACAUACUGCCGCUUGGAAACAUAGUGCUCCUCCUGCAACAUGUUAAGUCGUAAUCAUUCAAAGAGUUUGCCAGAUGAAAUCUACGAAUCUUCGAAAAACCAAACAAAUUGGGAACAAAGAAAGUUUGGCCUAGAGGCUAGAAAAACAACCCAAAAUCCCAGUAAUCCUCACUGCAUUACUUGUUGAUUAAGCCACAGAAACAAUCAAGCGGGGAAAAUCAUAAAAAUUGAAUGCUCAAGCAUUUAAGUAUCGAAAAGGAAAUAACCAAACAAGAGUUAAGUAAAAUAUGGGGAUUUAACAGCUAAUUAAUUAAUAUUAAACAGUUGACGUCUAUUGAAUACUUUUCCUGCAAGGUUACGAGACUUCUUUGGGAAGAAGCAAAGAACAACGUCGUAGUCGUAGUAAUCUCCGGCAGAAACUAGCUAUAAACAAUCUAGCACUUGUUGAACUCGUUUUAUUUAUCAUAUUUGAGCUUAAAUACCGUUUGGCCGCCGUGAAAAUGCGUAGUGUACGUAUGGAAAAUGGGCAAAUUUAUUACAAUGCAUGGACAUGGACACGGAUACGGGAAUAUGACAUGAUGGGGCAUGUCAAAUUUCUAAAAACGAAGACACGAUAUGUCUGGGAUAUGGCAAUUAAAAAUAUAUAUAAAUAAAUAAAUAUAUCUAAAACAUUAUAAAAUAAGCAUUCAAAUUUAUUACUCAAGUUCAAAUUUAUUUCAAUAAGGGGCAUUUUGACAUAGAUGCCUCAAAUUUGAAUUUUUUUAAUCAAACAUCUAUAACUUUUAAACUUUUGAUCAAACAUUCUUCUACUAAUUUUUAAUUAAAAAUUAUGAUUUUUAUUGUAUUUAAUUAACCAACUAGUUCAGAAAAUAAUAUCACAAAUAUUCUAAAAUCAUCACAAACUUCCUAGCUUAUCUUAUCAUAAUUCGUUCAAAAUGAAUUUUUCUUAUUCAAAUAAUUUGUUGUUUUAAAUUCUAAAAACACAUAAACAUCCUAUUAACAUACAAUUAUGAAAUAUAACAUGCACAUAUAUUAAAUAUAACGUACCAAACAGAUAUAUUAAAUAUAACGUACCAAUCAUUUGGUAUGUUAUUGGUACGUUAUAUAAAUUUAAUCUGGGUACAUAUUAGUAUUUUGGUACAUUAUAAAAUAUUGCUUUUGGUACGUUAUGCAAUUCUUUAUUUAGUAUGUACCAAGUUAUUAGUACGUUGUAUUAUCCUUACUUUGGUACGUACAAAACUUAUGGUACGUUAUGUGUAAGUUGUGUAACCCAAAAAAAAGAUAACUUUUCACAUUAAAACAUUGCACUAAAAAAUAUUUUGUCAACUCUUAAUAAUUAAUUAUUGGACUAAGGACUCAUUUUAAAUAAAAAAAAUGUGAAAACUCUUAGUUCACGUUUCUACUAUAAGUAGUUGUUAAAAAAUUCAAAUUUAUUUUCAGUUGCAUGAAAUUAGGCAGUCUAGUCUACAUCUCAAUUUUAAUUAUAAACGAGCUCUUGUUUUUUUUAUAAUCUAUAUAAAAUGUUGAGUUGGAAAUUGGAAAAACUAUAUUUCAUCCAAUUAAUCUUGAACCCCAGUAGAUAUAAUUGAAUCCUUAAAUUGAGGAAGGGAUGAGAUUCCAUAAAAAUAGCAAUAAAUUAAUGAAUAUUAUUGAGUGCAUUUUUUUUUACAUAGAAAUGGAUUUAAAUAAUUUAUAAAAUACUUAAAUUAAGAAUCUACCUGGAAUAUAAAGUUUAAUUAAAAGUAAAAGCACUUUAAUCAAAAGUUGAAAAGUAACAGAUGUUUAAUUUAGAAAAAUCUAAAAUGAGGCAUCUAAUUCUAAUUAACUGUUUCAAUAAACUCUAAACAGUUAGAAAGAUAUUGCAUCUAACAAGCAAUUAGUCUUAAAACUUGAAAAAGUAAAAAGAAUAUCCAUGCCACUACACAAUAAUAUAUUAUAAUACGUAAAAUACAAUAAUAUUAUAAUAAUACAAAAAAGUUAAAAACUGAAAAGCAAAAGACUUGGAAUCAAAUUAAGGCUACGAAUGGACUAUGGAGUAGUGGUAUGGAUAUUAUAAUAUAUUAUUGUAAUAUUGUAAUAUUAGUUUGAGAAAAGCAAAAGGCUUCGAAUCAGAUUAAGUUUUUAGUUUCAGAGAUGGGCUUUGUCCUCGGGGAAUCAGAUUAAAGCUUCGAAUGGACUAUGGAGUCAUUGAAUCAGUAAAGCUGAGGAGGAAGAUCAGGAAAGCAUCGGAUUUGAAACUAUUAACAAAGUGAAAAUGAAAGCUCACCACUCACGAACAGUUGCAGACAGAGACGAAUGAGACGAUGGAGCAUUGUAGAUGGAGAAGAUGGAGACGACGGAGACGACAGAUGACGGUCAAUGGUGAUUCGUGAAAGUCUCCCAAGCUGAAUGAUUUAUGAGGUUCGAGAGUUAAAUCCGAAUUUUUUUCUUUCUAAUAUCCUCCGAUUUUAAUGUGAUUUCAGUUAGCUAGCUUCGAUCAAUCACAAUUAUGUGCGGAUUUAUUGUGAUUAUUAUUAUUAUUAUUUCUGAUUAUCCUCCUAUUUUAGUUUGAAACUUAUCCAAGAAGUAGGAUACUGAUAUCUCGACAAUACGAUACGCGUAUCUUAUCAGUCCUAAAUGUAUCCCUUCACUCCGAUACGUAUCAGGUGUGUAUCCACACGUAUCCGUAUCCAUAUCCUCAACGUGUCAGAUACGAGAUACGGUGGCUUUCUCUUGUGUCCAUGCAUCUGAUUGUCCUUGAGAAAAAACGUGGGCUCACUACAACUUUGUCGGCGAAGCAGACGGUGAGAAGGACGUCGGAAGAGGAGGAGAAGUGAUCGUGAGCGAGCUGGAUGUAGCAUAGCCAGGGAGGAGGAAACCCAGUUGCCAACUAUCGAUCGAUUUCUGAUCCUGGUGGUCAGAGGGACGAAAUACAUGCGUAGGCUUCUUUCGGCAAAAUACACACCUAGGUUUCUUUGGGCGUGCCUGAGGUGUCGAUUGGGCGUCCCUUUUUCUUUUUUUAAAUUUCAAAAAUCUAAUUUUUUUUUAGAGUUGCAAAACUGUUUUGAGUUGUAAGUCAUGAACACCAACGAAGAAGAUGAAGAAGAUGAAGAAUAUGAAGAAGACGACCAGGUUUUUUAGGCUGAGUUGGUGUUUUUAAAUUUUUUUUUUAAUGUUUAAACUGACUCUACUUUGCCACAUCUAUUACCCCAUUAUCUUCACUUUUUUUAAACUAAUCCCACUUCAAUAACAUUUAUUAUCCCACUAUCUCUUUUAUGUUCACUUUUUAUUUUUAAUAUUUAUUUUCUCAUAUACUAGAUGUAUAUUAGAUAAGCAUUGUUUUGUUUUUGUUUUUAUUAUUUUUCUGAAUAUUCUUAUGAUUGACGUAGAAAUGAAAACAUCUUUCUAUGUGGAUUAUUAUUUUCUUAAUGUUAUAUUAUUCUUUUUUUUUUAAUUCGUUAUAUUUUUUUCUUCUUAUUUAUCUUUUUUAAAGACUACCUAUCCCACUUAAAUAUUAUCCAAAACUCUCAUAUAAAUAGGCACUUACUUAAGUAGAUGUUUGAAAUUGAUUAAUUUGAAUGUUUGAUUAAACUUGGUUAUGUGAGUUAAACUUGUUUGUGACUAUUAUAUUUUUAUAUGUAUAAAAUAUGUAUUAAAAAAUUAGGUCGCCUCACGUCUUAAGGCUUUCAUCUAGGCGGGAGCUGUCAAUCAAAUGUCUCGUCCACGCCUUUGCCUUUUAAAACAUUGUUCAGUACUGCGGUUUGAUGAUAUUUCUUUUCAUUUGGGAGUGAGAGGUCUUAGGUUUGAAUCUCGUGGAUGGCGAAUUCAAUACCAAAUUAGGUUUGCCCAUUGUGUGACUUAGCCGAACUCCCUCUCCCUUUAGUGUAAAAAUAUCAAUGUAUUCAUAAAAAAAAAAUAAAAAAAACAGCUAAAGGCUCUCUAUAAAUUCUUAGCCACCUUAUAUUUUUAUACAAUAUUUUAUAAUAUUAUCACGAAAAUUAACAUUGAAUGUUAAAGUGUUAGAGAAUUCAUAAAAGAAGUCUGAAAAAAAUUCUCUUGCAUUUCUAGAAGGACAAGGAUUGUCUGCCCUUCUUGUUCUCGUGCUCUUUUGUUUUGUGUGAUCAUGGUUAAGCUACGUCAACAUUUUAUAUUGUUUUUUUAAGAUAAUAAGAUAAAAAUAAAUAGUAAUAUAAAAUGUUGACGUGAUUUAAUUGUGAUCACAAACAGAGGGAAUGGAAGGACACGGAACAAGCAAGCAGAGUAGACAAUCCUUGUCCUUUCUAGAAACCACGUCCGAACGUUGAAAUUUUAAAAUAAUAAAUGACAAACAAAAGGUUUGGAGUGCAUAGAAAACAUCAAUACCCAACCGCACUAUCUCAGUUUUGCGUUCUUCCCAAGCAGCACCAGCACCAGCACCAGCACCAGCACCAUUAGAAGGAGGAAGAAGAAAACACAGCAGCGAAGAAAAGCAAACCAUGAAAGCUCUUCUCAAUCAAGAACCUUCUCUUUUCACCCCCAUCUCCACUACUUCCACCACCGCUAAGCAUCGCAGCCUCACUCAGCCUCUCACCCAAACACUCCUCAACCUCCCCGCAUAUAACGGCCACCGCCUUACCGGAAGAAAACUAACCUUAACCACCAAAUCCGUGUUGGAGUCCGUCACCGUAAAAAAUUCAAACAUCCCGGAAUACGAUACCCGAAACCCGACGAUUUCAUCUUCGUUUCGGAGGUCCGGUAUUCCGAAGCCGAAUCAGACGGUGCUGGACGCUCAGACUAGGGUUUGCACGGGCCCCACACAGACCAAGCCUCUCAGCGAGGAUCAGGCCUUCAAGGUGCUCGACACGAUUUACAGAUCGGUCAAGGGCGAGCUGAAGGAUGAGGAGCCGGUGUCGAAGUCGCAGCUCGGCGCGUUUUUCGCGGCUAUGUCGAUUCGCGCCAACGCUUUUCCGGAGGCGACGCAGUGGAGCGAAGGCGAGAUCCGGGCGAUGAACCAGUUCUGGCCGCUUCUGGUUCGGGCUCUUCCGGCGGACGUGGUGUUCAUCGCCGAUCCGGAGGGGUCGUUGGUGGGCGCGGGAAGCUCAAUCGGCCCCCAAUUCGUCGGGAACGGCGCGAGUGAGAUGAGAUUGGUCGGCGCCCUCCGGGAGGUCCUCGCCGGCGGCCACCUAGGAUUCGAAGAAGUCCAAGGCGUGCUGCGAGACAUUCUUCCGUUGAAAUCAGUGGAUGAUGCGACGUUGUCCGAUAGUGUGAGUGAAGCGUUGCUUUCGGCAUUGUUGAUUGGUCAGCGGAUGAACAGAGAAACGGACCGUGAGCUGAAAGCUUACUGCCUUGCAUUUGAUGAUGAGUUCGGUAAGCUCUAGUCUAAUUAAUAAUCCCAAUUAGUUUUUCUUAAUUUUUUUUUUCAGAGGAUGAAUUAUUUGCUUAAUGAUCGAUUAAUUAGGUGAUACUCCAAUUGUUGAUGUUAAAUCACUUACUCACUAUGGUGAACCUUACGAUGGUAACACGCGUUUCUUUAGAAGCACAUUGUUCGUUGCUGCGGUUCGAUCUUGUUAUUCCGAAUCUUGCUUGCUUCACGGCUUGGAUUGGAUGCCACCUAAGGUGAGCUUUCAGCUCUGCUCAACCAAUUGACCCGAUAGCAUAAACUAAUAGGGCCGGUUUGAUAAGGUUUUUGUUUUUUUAGGGAGGAGUUACUGAAGAACAGAUGCUUAAGUUUAUGGGGGCAAAUACGAGCUUAACCCCGUUGCAAGCAAAAGUACUUCUUGAGGUAUCUGAGGUUCCCAUAUAAUUCUUGCAAUGGUUACUGAUUCCUUUGGUUUUAUGUCUUUCGGGUUGUGGUUAAAUUCUUUAUCUUGUUAUUUCAGGAUGAAGACAUUGGUUUUGCCUAUAUAAGUCAACGUGAAGCCCGCCCUUCUCUGUGUGAAUCUCUAGCCAACAUUUUGGCAUGCUCUGCUUAGUAUUUACUCUAAUCGGGAUGAAACUGAUAAUAAUAUUUGUUUGAAUUCUGCAGAUAUUCAUUAGUUAAGUUGAGAGAGCAUAUUAAGAAACGUCCCCCACUGGCGACAACCGAAAAGGUUCAGCAAUUCGUGAAGGUAAGCCACAUCACUGUUUUCUUUAAUAACUUGUUCGUAAGGCUCAUCCUUUCUAUUCUUAUGGAAACCUCGACUGGCAUUUUUCUGCCGAGAAAUCUGUGUAAAAUUUAGAAACUACACAAAAUAGUGUGCAUUUAGAAUACUUCUUUACCUACCGUGCAAUUGAUUUAUCUACUUUAAAUUCUGAAAAUUUAGCAGGCAUCAGCAAAUAACCGAAUUUACUCUUGCAAUACCUCCAAUCGAAUUAUUGAUCAAAGUGAUUAGUACCCUAGCAUCGUUAUACAAAUUUGGGGUGCACCAUACAGAAAUAUGAAAAAUCUAUUGCUUUCUCAACAGGCCCGGGGGAAGGAAGCUAUUGUUGCUGGGUUUUAUCAUGAAGGUUUUGAGGAGCCGCUCUUAAUGCUUAUGAAAAGAAGAGGUGUCAAUGCUGGCUUGGUGGUGAAGGUUGGUACUUUGCUGAUUAUGCAGUUGAAGAGGAUGGUGCUUCAAAUACUAGAGUGUUUAAUAUUUUUAAUCAACCUUUUUGAAAUCUUAGAUAGAAGAAUUUAGAGUCUAACUUUACUAUUCUUUAAUCAGCCGAGUAAUUCAAAUAAACUACUACCGUCUAACUUUACUAUUACUGAAGGGUGAGGAAGGAGCUCUCUCAAUGACAACCAGAUUGCGGUCAGUAAAUUCAUCACAAGGACUUCCUGUAAACUACUGUUCAGGGUUUCGUUCAACAAGCUUUGCAUCCUCUUGUCAAGUUGAUGGUUUGUUCAAGUCCUUAUGUUAUUUUCUGCAUUUUCUCAAACACUUGUAAUGGUAGUUUCAAAGCUCUGCGUUAUGCAUGUAGCUGCCACAAAUGUUGAGAUUCUUGCAUAAAGUAUCCUACCAUCAAAACUGACUCGAAAGAUUGGUUUGCAGGUGUUUCACGUCAGAGCUUCAGUCUAGAGGUUAAUGCCGUAGACUAUGGCUUUGAACCCACCGACACUCCAAGAACUGAUAGAUCGGUAAUUCCUUCCAUCUUGUGGCAUGCACUCUCUCUCUCUCUCUCUCUCUCUCUCUCUCUCUCUCUCUCUCUCUCUCUCUCUCCCACAUGCGCACGCGCACCCACAUGCGUGCACACACAUACAAACACAGGUUUUUGCACUCAUUUUUUUUACAAGCCAGCGUUUUGUGACGAAUAAUUACAUUUUCUGCAACUUCAGGUUGUGAAGAAUAUAGAGUUGGGCUUAACAGCGCUUCGUGGUCAAAGGGGACCAGCUUAUGAUCGAAUAGUGUUGAAUGCUGGAAUGAUUGAUCACUUACUUGGAUGUGAUGGUGCAGAAGACAUAACCUCUGCCCUGGAUAGAGCGAGAGAGGCUAUUGACAGUGGAAAGGCUCUAAAAAAGGUCUUGAAUUACAUAAGAGUUUCAAACGAAGUGUGAGAGAGGAGGGAUGUGUUUUCGUUUUGCUCUAACUAAGAGGUAAUUGUGCUCAUUUUUCGCUUUCAUCACAAGGUUCAUCAACCUAUCAUGCAUCCACUUGAAACUUCAAUCUGAAUGUUAUACGUUGUACGUGAGUUGUGAUACACGUCGUUGUUAUCUUGUAGGUCCAAGGAAGGCUACUUCAAAAAUGUAUGUGUGGCGGCUAAAUUGUUACAUAAUUUUGAUUUGUCAUUUGAGUUGUAAAUGUUUUUGUGUGUUCAUCACGUGCAACUAUCAAAAGCUUGACAGGUGUGCAUAUAUCAAAAGCUUGGUGCGCAUGUGCCAUGUAAAUCUUUCUCGUUUGAUUCGACUUGUAAAGCAAAGAAUGAACUGAUCGGGUAACUGCAACAUAAACCUUUUUUUUAAUUAAUUAAUUUGAGUAAAACGAAUUACUUUUGACUUGUAACCGCAGAACGAACCAGCAUUUUUAAGAAAGAUAAAUAAAUAGCAAAAGCUUUUGUUUGUUUUGCACGUAAAUAUAAGACAUACAUAUAAUAUUGUAUGGAUAGACUUUUUGUUUCUGGUCAAAGAGGCUUGUAUAAAUGAAAGUAUAUAAUGUUUUUUGUCAGAUAUUGUUCAUGUUUAAUUUUAAAUAAAAGUAUUUAAAAUGAUUUUUAAACGUACGAUAUACGAUAAACAGACACGAUUUGAAGAUUUCCAGGAUUCUCAUUUUGAAAUGAAAUGUGGACAAUCAAAAUCAAAAGACUAAAAAUUAUUGACUGGGCAAAAUUGGCAUGAAUAAUCCUUGAAAAAGUUAGAAAACUGAUUCGGAUCGCUGAAUUACACUACGAAAAUCCACAACUUGAAGAAAGUGUACGCAAGAACCACUUUGUACAUUAUCAACGGUUAUUCGCGCUUGCCCUAUUCCUAGAGCUACAUUAUGGCUGACUGACUGAAGUUGGGUUUUAUUGUUAUCCAAGUUCUAAAGCCGGCCAUCAUAUCUCUUAAACAAAGUGAAAAAUUCUUCGCCGCACCCGGAUUCUCAAGUGCUAACUUUUCUCUAUGCCUGACGACUCCUCUAUAAUCCAUUCAACCCCUUUAUUGGAAGAAAGGGUGGGGCAAAAACAUAGCAAAAACCAAAGAGGACACUUUCUAUCUAGUGCUCAUACCUUACUCUUACAUUUGAAGAGUAGUCGCUAUGGAACCAGCAAGGCUAAGAACUUCAAAUGGCGGGUUGUUCUUCACAUCUUUCACUGUCACUGGACACGAGUCCGUAAUCCAGAAGUAGGUCAGCCCGUGCUCCGGGUGCCCUGGUUGGAAAAACAAGGAAGGAAUGCACAAAGGAAUUAGAAAUUGUACUCGGAGAGUCUUGAACAAGUUAGCACCAAAUUGUAAUAAGUAGACCAUGUAAUACCUCCAUAAUCACUUUGAAAGCGUUCCCAUGAUCGAUUAGGAAAGAUCCCAUGUGUUACAUACGCGCUGAUUUUUGCUGCUCCAUGGGCGGCUAAAACUUUCUAAAACAAGAUGAAAACGUAAUAUGGCAUUUCAGAUUAACUUGUGAACAAAUGGAAGGACUCUUUUUCCUCUGUGAAAAUGAAACUAAAGCAGGAAUAUAAUGUGGCAAGAAAUGCAGCAUAAGUCAAAUGUCCAUCUACGGGCCAAGUAGUUAAGUUCAAGUCCCAACCUACGGACAAGUUUAAAACUUUCCCAUGCCGAAUAGCCGUAUUUUAUCUGAAUUACAUUGUUCAUUGUGUUACGGCCAAUAUUAUAGAGUUGACAGCAAAUAAGAAGUUCGCUCAGGAUCUGGAUACCUGGCAUUCGAUCAAGGUACCACCAGACUGAACCAAAUCAUCAACGAUCACAACAUGUCGUCCUCUAGGGUCUCCUUCCUUAAUACGUACAAUUCGUUGGUCACCUUCCCGAACUUUAGCACAGACAAUCUGCAUUCAACUCUUUAAAGGUUAGGCAGUCUGCAAGAAACAUAGUUAAAGCAAGCCGUCAUGCAGCAAAUGUAAGGCUCGUGAAAGUGUCAGUGAAGGAGAUCGCACAACAUUAGUUGAAAAAAAAACACUGUUUAGCUGUGCCUUUUACACAAGACUAUAGAUGGAUAUCUAUGAGGUGUAUUGCACAGGCAUCAAUAGUCAGAUCCUUAAAGUCAAAACAAUCAGAACAAACGUGACGAAAAUAAUGCAAUUAUCAUAAUUAUGCUGUUUUAAUGAAUACUCUUAGAUGAUAUUUUGAUGACUCUUAGAAUUAGACACAAAAACAUGCACAGGUAACAGAUCCUCCUUGUUACUAGGGAGAAUAAAACAUAUCAUACCGUAGGGAAAUGAUGUAGCUGCUUAUGAAAUCGUUUCCACGCACCAUCAUCAGGAAAAGCAAUGGAUAUCUAAAUUGGGAAGAUAAUCAGCAUACAAUGUCAGAAAUAAUUUUUUUAAUGAAUAAUUACUCCUUAUCAACAUCUAAACUCCUAGGACUCAACAGACAGGGGAGGAGAAAACAGUUUACAUUGUCGGAAUCAGGGAGCUGCUGGAGCCUAUUUUUGAGCAAAGGGAUCCCGCUCUCAAAGCAUGGUAAGAUAUUAUCACCAAAGUAAAACCGCUCCUAAACACGCAACAAACAACCAAAACAACAAGGUCAGAUAAUCGUUGCACAUUGCUCAUCUUAGGGCUGGUUUGGUAUCGUUGCGCUUUGGAAAAACACAUUUUUGAGCUCAGUUUUUCUUAUACCCACUUUUUAUAAAAGAACCUCAGUACCAAACCAGUACUAAGAGCUUAGAGAAGGCAAAUUUGUUUACUAAAUGUGGUAUAGAAAAACCUGCAAGGCAUGGAUAUCAUAGAUAACUAAACUAGUAGGCCCACCCAUCGAAAUGGGAAUGUUUGACAAGGCCCUGGCAAGCGUGAAAGCGGUGGCGACAUCUCCCUCAUCCUCCAUACGCUCCGAAGUCCCCGUCGGAAAAAAUGGAAGCACCAGAGUGAAUGAGGAGAUGAACAACUUGGGCAAUGCAUAAAUCACAGAGAGCUGCUCAAAAAUCACCGACGGGGAGCUAAACGAGGCGAGAAACGCCACAUGUUGCCCUCGAAUUCCAUGAGCAUUGGGUAUGAAAAUGUUGGGAAACCCAUCAUCAAAUUUCCUAAAAGAAUCCAAAUUUACAAAAAUUGAAGCACAACAGAGCCAAAUUCCACAAAUUAAAAAUUAAAAUUUUCGAGGCAAAUGCCCAAUUGCCACGCUUGCAGUCGGACCUCUCACCUCCAAGUAAUGCUGCGGAGCUCGAUGGAGUCGGACUGGGCAGCGACAUUCUCGGCGAGGGCUUUGGUCUCGGCGCAGUAGAAGAGGCAGACCUUCUUCGCCUUCUUCACCGCCGAAUCGGAAGCCAUUGACAAUUGGGGUUCGGAAGCGGCGCGGAAGACGUGAACCGGAGAGUCCGGCUCGAUGGUCAGGUUGUGGCCGAAGCUCUUGAUCUCGCACCUGAUGAUGUUGCUGCCGUUCUGCUUCUUCUUCCUAAAGUUGGAGGCUUUGAUGUGGAAAGCGGCGGAGGAGGGAUCGGGAGAUUUGGGCGCGGGUGGGAAGUUAGGUUUUUGGAAGGAUGGCGGAAGAGGUCGAGUGGCCGCCAUGUGGCGGCAGUGGUGUGCUAGUAGAGCGCCGAGCUGCUCGGUGCUCUGUCUGCGUGGCGGCUUUGGUUGGUCACCGGUGUACGGCUAUAGUUUUAAAUGUCCGAAAAUGCCCAUUUCUGUACGACGUCGUCGAGCAAAAUAUUUGCUUUUUAUUCAAUUUUUUAACUUGUUUUAGAUCUAUCUAAUUUUCUUUAUUUUGUUGUUGUUGGAUUUAGACUUAAUUACAAAAUCUUGAUUGGAAAAGAAAAUAACUCAUACAUUGAUUGAGAAGAAGUUGAUGGUGGAAGGGGAUUCUAAACUUGUCAUUCACGUGAUGCAAGAUGUUUGGAUGCCUUCUUGGAAUCUUAGACCUAUCAUAGAAGAUAUCAAAUGGUUGUCUUCUGAAUUUCAGCAUAUCAGUUGGAAGUAUAUUUAUAAGAAUGCUAAUUUUAUAGUAGACGCAUUAACUCAUGUGAGCCUCGCUAUUGCCAACCCACAUUUUUGGGAUUUUUAUCUUCCAACUUUGGCUAUAGAGGUUUUUAAUUUUGAUUGUAUAGGAAACAGUUAUAUUAGAGGUUUUAAGUUUUAAUAAAUUUAUUCUUUGUCAAUAAAAAAUUACAUUGAUUGAAAAACUGCUUUUAUUGGCCUAACCAUUGAAUUAAGUUUACCCAAUUAAAUACAUUAAUAUAUAUUAUUCAAAUUUUACGGGUAAUUUUCUUUAAGUUUGGUGAUAAAAUUCAUGGGGAAAGUUGAAUUUUAGACUUGAGCUUCAAUUGAUGAUGAGUUCGAGAACAACCACUUAAUCAAAAUUGAACCAAAUCAAUUAUUUUGUUCAAUUCAAUUUUCAAUUUGAAAUGUUACCUUAAUUUUCUAAAGUUAGAAUUUAGAAGCUCAAGAACAAGAGUAACUGCAGUUACGGACUAUAACUACGAGCAAAUCUCAAACUAAAGCGAUUUUAUUUAAUGUCUCGACAAGAGAACUAAAUUUAAAUUUUAUAAAUAACGAGCUUAAUAUUAAUUUAUUUCUUUCUCUUUUUUAUACAUUUGUUGUCUAAAUUUUUUUUUUAAAUUUGUAUAAAAUUACGCAACGUGCAAAUUAUAAUAAAAAACUAAACCGGCUUUGGCUUUAACCCCACUCUCCACAUAUAACAAACCAAGAGCCAGAAACAUGACUUACAGUCCGAAGCGUGCCAUGGCGGAGCUCAGGCACUCCAUCUCGGUGGGGGCUCGAGCCACUUCUUCUCCAAUGAAGCGCGACGAGGACUCCUCCCCUCUGAUAUUCGACACUCAGCCCCAAGACGACGACGACGGCCGCGGUCGCCCUCCCUACAAAGAUCGCGACCGUCCCUUCCUCUCCCAUUUCCAAUCCAUCUGCCCCUCAAUUGCCGACGACUCCAACAGCUCCAGGAUCUCACUCUUCGUCGUCAUCGUCGUCGCAGUCUUCUGCCUGGUCUCGAUUCUGGCGAUCGUGAAACGAGUGGUAUGGCUUUUUGGUGCUUUUUCUGUUCGGAUUUCUGGUGUUUGGCAAUUGGGAUAAGAUAGUCUUGCUUAGAGCUGUGCAAAUCGAUGUUUUUCAAUUGGUUUGUUUGGCUUUGUGUUGCAGAAUACUCCUUACUUGUGUAAAAAAGAUGGCAUUACUCUUCACUGUCCUCAUGUAAGUUGGGGAAAGCUGUUUGCUUGGUCAAUGUUAGAAUUUCGGUGAUGUAAUUGUGAGAUUUUUUAAUGUAAAUUUACUUUUCUAGGUCAAGGAAUCGCCUUCGCUUUGGGAGAAUCCGUAUUCAGCAACCACGUCUUGGAAGUCCUGUGCCGAGCGCCGCCUUGGUGGCAUUUCAGGUGAGCUGAGCUCUUGUUUUUGUUGUUGACGUGUUGCACUAGAUCUAUGAUCUUCUUUAUUACUAUGUCUAGUUCCACCUUUCUAAAUUAUAAUCUUUCCGGCAUUGUGCAGAUCUUCCACCUGAAAACGAAACAACUGGGUACAUAUUUAUUCAUGCUGAGGGUGGCCUAAAUCAGCAAAGAAUUGCAGUAUGUUCUACUCGGUCUUAUUGUUUAUCUGUUCAAGAAAUCUUUAUUUCCUCUAAUUUGUGCACAUUGUAAGAAUGAAGUGAAAGAGUAACUUAGAGAAGAUGUAAGACAAAAAUUUCACUUUUUCAAGAAGGUUCUAGAAUUGCACCGAGAAGAGCUCCUACAGAUUGGUUGCAAUGUUAAAUGGUGGCUGUCACAGUUAAUCUGUUACAACGACCAUAAUAUGUUUUUGUGCUUGGUGUCCAGCUGGGGAUGGCUGUCUGAAGGCAACAGCUUGUCUGCCGGUGCGGCACUGCGGUUGAUUUGUUUGUUUGUUAGCUUGUCUCUCUUUCAAUGGCUUUAAGCUCAUUACUUUUUCUCUGCUGUUGUCUUCGUCAUAAGAGCUUGACUGAUCUUUUAUAUGACCUUGUAGCUUGGCUGAAUUUCUCUGUUCAAAUAUAAAAUUGUUCACUUAGCUACUUUUUCAACCCCUUAUUUUCCAUUGCUUUUCCAUGGUUUACAGAAAGCAAUUUUCCAUUGGAUUAUAAUGGUUGCGCUAGUCUGCUUGCUUAUUUGCAUAUUAGUUUGAGAUAUGGUUCUGUAAGUUUAGCCGGAUGAUUCUGCCUUAUUGUUGUAUGUGAACUGUCAUGUGUAUGUUUUCCAUGCAGAUAUGCAAUGCAGUAGCUGUAGCCAAAAUAAUGAAUGCCACCCUUAUUUUGCCUGUGCUGAAGCAGGACCAGAUUUGGAAAGACCAAACGUGAGAUUUUGCCUCUAUUUUUAUAAGUACUGUCAUAUUAGUGUAAAGUCAUAAAAACAGUAUAUAACUAUAUACACAAUUAAAUAACAGGAAAAUACCAUUUUGAUGUUAAUGGUCUCUGUUACAGAUCUUGAAAAACUAAUCUUUUUGCUUUCAUGCUUUUAAAGAUCUUUUGAAAGUAUCCCUAUUUGAAAUUGCUUCAUAAGAUCUUGUUUUGGGAUCUCUUAUGCUUGCAAUUCUUGAUUUGAGUAUUACAACUUCUGCAGGAAAUUUGAAGAUAUCUUUGAUGUUGACCAUUUCAUUGAUUACCUGAAGGAUGAUGUACGAAUUGUUCGUGAUAUUCCUGAGUGGUUUACUGACAAAGCUGAGCUAUUUACAAGUAUAAGGUUAAGCUCUCUCUCUCUCUCUCCCCCCAAUUUGUAUAGAUUUUUCUCUGCAACUCGCACUGAUAUGUAAAUUUUUUUCUUUAGACGAACAGUAAAGAACAUUCCAAAAUAUGCACCUGCUCAAUUUUACAUAGACAAUGUUCUGCCGCGAAUCAAGGAGAAGAAGAUAAUGGCCCUAAAACCUUUUGUCGAUCGACUCGGGUAAGUUGGGAAUUCUUAUACAGGUGCUGUCCAAAGCUCACAAGUCACACUCUUGUAGAAAGAAAAGGACUGAAAGUUUCUUUUAUCUUUAAAAAAUGUAAGUGUUUAUAUCUGUUAGAAAUCAAGAAUGUAUAACAAGUUAAUAAUAUCAUACCUCUCUGGUUUCAGGUACGACAAUGUCCCUCAAGAAAUCAACAGGCUAAGGUGCAGGGUGAAUUAUCAUGCUCUUAAAUUUCUACCUGAGAUAGAGGAGAUGGCUGAUUUAUUGGCGUCAAGGAUGAGAAAUCGCACUGGAGGUUCCAAUCCUUAUAUGUAUGUAACAUUGUACUUAAAUCCAUUCAAAUUUCUGGUAAUUGUACCUUAACUUCACUAACAAUUCUACACUUGCAGGGCUCUUCAUCUUAGGUUUGAGAAAGGGAUGGUAGGCCUAUCUUUCUGUGAUUUUGUGGGCACAAGGGAAGAGAAAGCUCUAAUGGCAGAAUACAGACAUAAAGAAUGGCCAAGACGGUACAAGGUAAAUAACAUACCUAGGUCAACUUUAUGGAGUCAGAACUUUGAAAGAAUAUCAGUCUUAUUGUGUUUCUUUUUCUUUUGAUGGUGAUUUUGGUAUGCAGAAUGGUACCCAUCUAUGGCAACUAGCCCUGCAGAAGCGAAAGGAAGGGCGAUGCCCCCUUGAGCCUGGGGAAGUGGCUGUCAUUCUUCGAGCAAUGGGCUAUCCUAAGGAAACUCAAAUUUAUGUUGCUUCAGGACAGGUUUAUGGUGGCCACAACAGGAUGGCGCCGUUGAGGAACAUGUUCCCAAAUCUGGUAUGAACUUCUAAUUUAUUCUACCAUAGCACUACUGACUGAACUUGUCUGGUGAAGACAGCCCAUUAGUUUUGAAGUGUUAGUAAGUCAGAUCUAAAAGAUUAUACCCCUUCCGUUAUUAAGAAUAUCUUACUUGGAUGACUAGUUGAAUUCAGAAAAUGGGGUUCGGUAUAAUUCUAGCUGGGGUUACUUCGUAUAAAUAUGUAAUCUUUUAAAAGCGGAAACUUAGGGGACAUGCGGAAACUUCUUCACUUGAAAUCCUUCUUUUCCCCCCUCUUGAUUGAUAUGCUCAUUUUACUAUUCAUAAAAGGUAACGAAAGAGGAGUUGGCGGCUAAGCAGGAGUUGGAUAAAUUCAGGAAGCAUGUGACUAGCUUGGCAGCGCUUGACUUCCUGGUAUGCUUGAAGUCUGAUGUAUUCGUGAUGACCCACGGAGGCAACUUUGCUAAGCUGAUCAUAGGGGCACGCCGGUACAUGGGUCAUCGUCAAAAAUCAAUAAAACCAGACAAGGGGCUGAUGUCUAAAUCUUUUGGGGACCCUUACAUGGGAUGGGCCACCUUUGCAGACGAUGUAGUGACUACCCACGAAACACGAACUGGAUUACCAGAAGCGACCUUCCCUAACUAUGACUUGUGGGAGAACCCUCUAACUCCUUGCAUGUGUAAAGCUUGAACAAAAUAUAAGGUUGGCAAACCGAAUACACUUGAUUAUUCCAAGAGCCCGGAGAUUGUAUACCUGUGAAAUGAAAUCGCGAACUUCUCCCCGAAAGGUUUGAAAGAAUGUUGCACUAUGUGAUGAAGAAAAUUGAGGGAAAACCAGGGCAUGCAUCAAACUCAUUUGCGGUUGUGUCAAGAAUGUCAAAUAGUUUUGCCUGUAUCAUUAUCAGAACUGUGUAAAUUAUUAGAGAAAUGUGAAAGAUGUUUUUCAGGCAGUGAACGCUGCUUGAAUCACUCCAUGCUGAUUUUUGUGAUCCAUUAUUUUAGCACCUAGCAGCCUAGUCCAUGGUGUUUAGUUUAUUUUAAUACUUUGUUAAUCGAAAUUUUAUCUUACUGCUCUUUAUUUAUAGAAGUUAAAUGUAAAACUUUCACCAAAAUGGCUAAGACCUCUUCUGUAAGUCCUUAAAGAGGCUUAUAUUAUGCCUUGGUCCUCGGAUGGAGUAGCCUUUCCAUUUCCUAAACUUUUUUGUACCGAGAAAAGUAGGAAUAUCAUUAAAUCGUAAUUAUCAUGAAAUUGUAAAAAAAGAAAUAAAUUACCCAAAAAUUAGGAUCAAAUGAAGGUCCACGCAGAUGUGUAUUUAUGCAAGGAGAAAUUCGUGCCUUGUUAGAUGGGGUUGUUAAGAGUGGCCCAUAUUUUGUUUUAUGGCUUAAAUCCAAAUCUAAGAUUUUGAAAAUAGUGGUAAUAUGAAAUGUGAUAAAAUCAGAAAUAAGAUCACCUAAACUUGUUUAAUACGAUCAAAACCAUAUAUAUGUUUUAAAUAAGAUAACCAUAUAUGUGCUUUAAAUAAGAAUGAAUUUAUGUAUACUCAAGUUUCGUCUUUGAACACCCUUGUUUCUCUGGAUAUGUGUGAUCAUGAAUAAAAAACAUUCAAUAAUCAAUUUCAUUUUUGGGUGGAAAUUAUGCUUACAGUCUUGGCAUGAGUAUGAACUUUUUUUUUUCUCAAAUAAAGUGAUAUUUUGCACUAAAAGUGUGAGAAGUAUUUGAACUUGAGAUAUACAACUGUCACAUCCCAGCCCGAGGUCAAUCACAUCCCAGGCACACUCUACCACCGUAGCACGAUAUUGUCCGUUUUGGUCCCCGACUACGCCCUCACAGUUUUGUUUCUGGGAACUCACAUGAGAACUUCCCAAUGGGUCACCCAUCAUAGGAUUGCUCUUGCGCACUACUCACUUAACUUCGAAGUUCCGAUGGAACCCGAAGCCAGGGAGCUACCAAAAAGCCUCAUGCUAGAUAGGGAUGAGAAUAUACAUAUAAGGAUCACUCCCCUGGGAGAUGUGGAAUCUUACAAUCCACCCCCCUUAAGGGGCCCGAUGACAUCGUCGGCACACCAUGGCCAGGGUUAGGCUCUUAUAACAAUUUGUCACAUCCCGGCCCGGGGUCCACCACAUCCCGGGCCCGCUCUACCACCGUAGCACGAUAUUGUCCGCUUUGGGCCCUGACUACGCCCUCACGGUUUUGUUUCUGGAAACUCACACAAGAACUUCCCAGUGGGUCACCCAUCAUGGGAUUGCUCUCGCACGCUACUCGCUUAACUUCGACGUUCUGAUGGAACCCGAAGCCAGUGAGCGCAACAUGGGAUCUUGCACAACUCUUUAGGAAGUGCAUUUAAAAUAAUUAAAAGCGUUUUUGGUGAAAAUAUUUUUGAAAACCAAUAUUUGGUAAAAAUUGAAAUAGAUUAUGCACACUUUAAGUGCUUCCUGUAAGAAACACAUAUAUGAUGUUUCCUUCUAAAAGCAAUUAAAGUGCUUUUGUAACUCAAAAUCAAUUUCAUAAAAAAUAUUAUUAAUUAUUUUAAAAAUACUUUCAAACAAGUAUGUAAUAAUCGUGCUAAAAUACUAGAGAAUCUAUAACUGUCGAACGAGAAGAAUCAAUUUAACUCCUUUCAGUUAGAUGGGAACAACUUUGAUAAAUAUUGAUAACUCUUAGAUGGAGUAUUAGAACAAAAAAAAAUCUAUUAGAUAAUGAAUUAUUGAUUCUAAGCCAUCUCAAAAAGGCAGAAUUAAAGACAAAAACAGUGGCCGACAUUCAAUUUGUAAACGAUCAGAAUUUUGGAACUAAAGAACCCCGUCAAAAUAUUUGGAAUUUGGCACUUGGCUUUGACCAACAUCGUCAGAUAAAAUCGAACAUUCAUAUCAGUAAAAGUACAUAUUUCCCACGUCAGCGCCAAGCGAGGCACAACAAACAAAAUUCCAUAAAAAAUAUAUAUAUUUUUUAAUCUUUUUCUUCAUCCCAGAUGAAUUUUUGUAAAGGAAAACUAACAAAAAUAAUUUGAAAAUUUUGAGUUUUAACGAUAAAGAUAAAAUAAAUGGUAAAAUGAACAAUAUCAUGAUUGAUUUUUUAAUGUAAAACUGUGAAUUUUUAUUAAAAUAAAUAGUACCUAGAACUUUUCGUUAAAAUUCUUUUUUUAUAAUUGUAAGUAUCAGCUAUUCAAACAGUACUUAAUGUAUAACUUUUUAGUAUAAAAUUGUAAAUUUUUUAUUAAAAUGAACAGUACCUAGAAUUUUUCGUUAAAAUUCUUUUUUUUAUAAUUGUAAGUAUCAGCUAUUCAAACGGUACUUCAUAUAUUUCAUAUAUAACUAUAUAAAUAAAAAAUUUGAUAUAUUUUUUUUUCGUAUAUAUUCAUGUAUUAUGACAUGUAGAAUUUCAACGCUAAAAAAUUUCUGUUCUUUUAAAUAGCAUUUCGUCAUUUCCUCACGGAGACCACAAAGUGGUUAUGAAGUAGAUUGCCUCCCCCAAGAAGGAUCAAGGCUGUAACAUGUCGGUGUCAUACCUAACUCCAUUGCCGCCUGUUUGAUUCCGUCGUCUGAAUUCCAGUCUGGUCUGGUCGGAAUCGAAUUCCCAGUGCUUGAGUCAAAGCUUCAGCCUUGAGCCAUGAAUGUCUGCUUGUUCCUCUUCACCUCUCUCUGCUUCUUACUCGGUCUGUUCACCCAGAGGUAAAAACCCACUUUUACUUUUUACCAUUUCAUCAUCUUCUGUUCUUCACUUGCUCGGUGUUUCCUGUUGAUGAUAAGCAUGAUCAUCUACUCGACAACCCAGAAUUUGUUUCAGUGUUUCUGCGAGAUUCCAUUUCGGAAUUGUUAAUUGCAACUUGCCCACUCAUUUAUUAGUAUUUGCAUUUGUGGCAUUAUUCUUUUGGGUUUCUGAGCUCAAAUUUACUAAUCUGAAAAUUUGUGUGUAACUGAGGAAUGUUGUGUGUUGGAUUAAAUGCUAUCACUAUUAUUUUGUUUUUUCCUUGUUUACUUUGGUUUUUUUUUUUCUGUUGCUAAUUUGUUUUAUUUGAUGAUCUCAAUGUUUCUGGUUUUGUGAUGCAAAUCGUGGUUGCAAAUGUAUGCUGAUUUCAGGGUGUCAUCACAAGAUCGCGCCAGCACCCCGCCGAGAGGUUGGAACUCGUAUGACUCGUUUAUCUGGACUAUUUCAGAGGAAGAAUUCUCCCAAAAUGCCAAAAUUAUGGCAAAGCAGCUCCUUCCUCAUGGAUAUGAGGUGUUUGAUGGAAUACGAUAAGAAUUUGGUUUUUUUGUUUCUUUUUUCGCAUUCAUUUGUACGUGUGAGAGUGGUUUUAUGCAUCUUUGUAUUUUCACUUCAAUGCAGUAUGCUGUGGUGGAUUACCUGUGGUAUAGGAGAAAAGUUCCAGGUGCUUAUGUUGAUUCUCUUGGGUUUGAUGUGAUCGAUGAGUGGGGGAGGCCGAUACCUGAUCCAGAUAGGUGGCCUUCGUCGAGAGGUGGGAAAGGGUUCGCUGAAGUGGCAGCAAAAGUACAUAGCCUCGGUUUGAAAUUCGGGAUUCAUGUCAUGAGAGGAAUAAGUACACAGGCAGUAAAUGCGAGUACCUUGAUCUUGGACACCAACACGGUAAUACUACUUAAUCACACCAACAAAGAUUCUGAAAAAGUACAUAGCCUCUCAUUUUUGUAGUGAUUAUAUUUUACAUAAGUUUGGAGGAUGCAUCAAAUAAUGUACUAGUUUAUCGUUAACAAAGAUUCAGAAAGCACACACAUAUGUAAUUCAUUUUUAUCUUUGAAAACAUAAGUGGUGCAAUGGGGGAAAUUGAAGUCUUGGUCUCAGUGCUUUAGUUUUCAUUCUCGUCUUUUAUCAGGGGUCUGCUUACAAAGAGGCUGGAAGAAAUUGGACUGCAAAAGAUAUAGGGAUCAAGGAGAGGACUUGUGCAUGGAUGCACAAUGGUUUCAUGAGUGUGAAUACCAAGUUGGGCGCUGGAAAGGCCUUCUUGAGGUCACUCUAUAAACAGUAUGCUGAAUGGGGUGUUGAUUUUGGUAAUUAACAAAAGUUCCCGUAUUUUGUUCAAUAUUAAGAUUGCGUCAGUUAUGGAUGACGACGUAAAGCAUCAGGAUACUCCUCUGAUAUUAUUUAUCUCUUGCUAACUCUGUCAUUGGUUGCUUCUUUUACCCACCCCCCGCAGUGAAAAAUGACUGCGUGUUUGGUGAAGACUUAGACGUACCCGAAAUAACCUACAUUUCAGACGUAACUCUCUCGCUCUCUCUCUCUCUCUCUCACACACACACACACACACACACACACAAAACAUGCAUCUUCAUCAAUAUUGUGAUGGAGAGUGGGUGCUUAACAAAUAAUGCAUACUUCUCCAGAUUCUGAAGCAACUUGACCGUCCUAUAUUGUAUUCUCUAUCUCCUGGAACCAGAGUAACACCUGAUAUGGCCAAGGCUAUAAGUGGAAUGGUCAACAUGUACCGUAUAACUGGGGAUGAUUGGGAUUCAUGGGGAGAUGUUCUAGCCCAUUUUGAUGUCACCAGGUGAUUGACUUGUUUUUCAGUACAAGGUUUCGUUCAGAUUAACUUUCGCAUAUUCUUUGUUUUUCGUGUGUGCUGAACACAAUAAAUUCCGUACCAGGGAUUUUGCUGCUGCUGAUAUGAUAGGAGCCAAAGGCUUGCUGGGGAAGUCAUGGCCGGACUUAGAUAUGCUUCCGUUGGGAUGGCUUAGUGAUCCAGGUCAGAGGACUUAGCAUUUUUAUUUCCUUUAUAUGGCAAUGAAUAUUUUCCUUUCAAGAUUCUAAGAUAGAUGACUGAGCUCUAUUGACGCUUGCCUGAUGUGCUUGGUUUCAUACUGAUGGGUUGUCAUCGCACUGCAUUUGAGUGUGAAAACGAUCAAGUUCAAUAUCUAGGACCAACUGUAUCCAUGUCAAUUCGGCUGAGCAACUUCAACCGGAUAGUUCUAGAAUAUCAUUAUAAGGCAUUGCAGGGUUAUUUAUCUCCUCGAAAUUUACAAAAUCUGAAAUGCACUUUGAGUUUGAUAUUUGAUGAGUGGUUCUCAUAAUUUCAUUUCAUAUUUUGAAAUAUUAGGUUCAAAUGACGGUCCACACAGAUGGACUAAUCUCGGUUUAAGGGAGCAAAGAACGCAGGUACUUACAUGAGGACGAUUGAGUCUUUUAAGUCCUUUUUUAUUCGCUGAGCAAUGUUUUUGACCUUGUGCAUUUAUUUUCACAGAUGACUUUGUGGUCUAUGGCCAGGUCUCCUCUCAUGUUUGGAGGGGAUAUGAGACAGCUUAAUGAUGUCACAAUGGAACUCCUUGCAAACCCUACCGUGCUGGAGAUAAAUUCUUUUAGCUCAAAUAAUAGGGAGGUAUGUUGAAUAGACAAUUCAUAAAAUCAUAAGAAAAAAAUUUGUUCGUGGUAGCACAUAAAAUCUUAUUUUGUUGCAUUUACAGUUUUCAUACAUUACAAGUAAUGUGAGUGCAAAGGCCGUUAAGAAUGAUGAUCACGUUCACACCUGGCAAUCAAGAAGACAUCUGACAAAUGCAAAAACUACAAAUACACAUGUUCUUGGUCUCACUACCUGUGCAGAUGCAAAAGCAAUUGGUUGGUCCUCUCAAGCUCUUGACCAAGAUCGCGAACACAUCUGCUGGACGGCAAACUCAAGGGGCAAACAUCAGGCACCUUUUUGCUUAAACAAGACAGAAUCUCUCCUGGCAAUGUAAUAUUUUUUUAUCUUUCCCUGAUCUGUUUUCUCAAUUUUAUUAUGUUUACUUGCGCUGUUACAAACUUGAUAAAUCUGGUUCACUGCUGAUAUAGAGAUGAAGACAUAACGGACAAACAGCAAUAUCUGGGGAAGGUCAAUUUAUUAGCAAAUGAUGGAACGGAUCGCUGUUUGCAUGCUUCUCCUAAACAAAAGCUUACUUCGAAGGACGUUAAGAGAGGUUUCCUUUCACCUUGUAGAUGGGAUGCAAACCAGGUAUCUUCAGUCCCGAUACAUAGAUUUAAUCCAUACAGAAUUGAUAUCUUGCAUACACCAUUGAGUGUCUAAUCUGAACAAGUUGUACGGAAUGAAUUGUAUCGUGAAGGAGUGACAUUUUGAAAUGACGUAUUCGAACUUAACAGAUGUGGGAGUUGAACCCCAACGGAACCUUGGUGAAUAGUUAUUCUGGCCUCUGUGCAAGAAUUGAUUCUUUAUUUGAAGGUAACAAAUUAAAACGCGAGUGCCUUUUCGUACAUUGAUUCUGUCAGCGAGUCUUGAAAUCAUGUUUAAAUCAUGGUUUAAACUUACAAGUUGAUCACCUGUUCAGCUAAAGCCGUCACUGAUGUUGCUCGCUCUUGGAUUGCAACUGGAACAAAAGGUUUAGCAUAUUUCUCAAUUCUCAACGUAACUGGUGCAUAUUUCUCGAUUGUCAAUUCUGAUUCUGUUUGCGUUUCUGCAAUUACAGGAGAAAUAUACAUAGCGUUUUUCAAUUUGUUCAGUGAUUGGGCUACUAUAACUGCACAAAGAGCAGACAUAGUCAAAGAACUUCCAAUGACAAAAUUGGCCAGAGGUUCUUGCACGGGAUCGGAAGUAUGGACCGGACAAGACUUAGGGGUAAUAGGCGACGCAAUUUCUUUUUCGGUUAUACCGCACGGGGUUGCACUGAUUGUCCUGCACUGUAGUUAGGUGCAGGAUAAUCCAAAGCAUUUUUUAGGUGUAGUUUUGCUGCUUGUUCUUCAUGUUCUUUAUUUUUCAGCAAAUAAGAGGGAAAGGGAUGUGGCACAUGCUGUAAUAUUUAGGGGGGUGUAUUCGAUUGAGAAUUUGAGAUAAUUUAAUGGAUUUAUAAAUCCAUUGAUUUUUAUAAAGUUUAAUUGAUUUGUAGAGAUUCCAUAUAGAAUCUUAAUUCAAUUCUCUCGAAAUCUCAUGGGAAGAUAUGAGAUUUGUGGAUGCUUAAAAUAUACUACAAAAUCUCUCAAAUUCCCUUUAAUUCCUCAACUUUUUCAAAUUCUUUAAAAUCAAUUUCUAAUUGAAUACACCUGGAAUGUUAUAAAUUUCUUUAAAAUCCUAAUUGAAUGCAUCCGGAUUUCUAAGGAUUUUAAUAAACUAUAUUAAAAUUCUAAUUGAGUACACUUUGAAUUUCAAAAAAUCACUUAAAAUUUUGAUUGAAUACCCCUAAAUUCAUUAAAAUAAUUAAAAUCCCUCAAAAUCUCAAUUGAAAACACCCCCUUAACCUUUAAGAAUCAGUGAGAAUGAUAAUUUGGUUUAUUAUAUUUUGCACCCUCAAAUUUGGAUGGAAUUGCGAUUCCAUAGUUCAUUUGAAAUACCUGCCACUCCAAAGAAAACAAAUAUAAAGACAAAAGUGGCAAGCGAAUUUAAAUAAAUACAUAACAAUAGGCUGACUUUUUUCUUAGUUCCUGUGAUGAUAUCGCCCUUUAAAUUUGACCCAUCGUGGUUAAAAGCUAUCAAUUAAAGACUUGUGGUGAACCUUGUUCAUACUUACAGUUUAAGUUCAAACUUCCCUUAAUUUCUCUCUUCUUUGUUAGUAUAAAUGUCAAAUUUUUAAAUUGAGAAUUUUAACGAAAAACUCCUAAUAUUGUUCGCUUUAACGAAAAACCACAUUUUUACACUAAAAAGUCAAUCUUGGUACUAUUUAUUUUACCCUUUAUUUUGUCAUUAUUGUUAAAACUCAAAGUUUUCAAGCAAUUUUCAUUAGUUUUCCUUUUUAAAUUUUGGUCGUCAAACAUAAUUCAAUGAUUGUCACACCACGGAUCUGGGGUCGAUAAUAAAAACUCAAACCCGAAUCUGAAACGUAAAUAAAAGGAAAUAGAAACGGGUUGGAAAAUAAAUUUCUUCUUAUAAAAUGACUCAUGAUUCUUAACAAAUCAGGAAUUCUUUACAACCUGCAGUAAACAGAUGAGUAAACUUUCUCUACUCCAAUCUAAUUUGAUCUCAUCCUACCUACCCUCUUGAAUGUCUAGUUCGUAAGCUUGCAUAACAAUAGCGGGAUGAACUUCAACAGCUCAAUAGGGACAUAACCUUAUCAUAGUAAAUUGACAAUAUUAAAUUAAGUGUCAUGAAAUCAUAUAGCCAAAUAUCAAAUCAAUAUUGAUUCAUUAUUGAUAAUAAUGCAUGAAUGUAAUGCAACCUCUUCAGCUACCCCCAUUAAUUUAUAUAAUAAAACACGCGGACUUGCACGUCCCAUACCAUGCAUUUUACUACUGCAGAGGUGGUUCAAAUGUUCUAUUAUAGAAACUAACCCCCAUAUGAUAUCCCAAGUUCAUAAACCCCUUUUGCUAGUUAUCUUAUCUAAUUCAUUGAUCUCCAACCCAAAUAAGCCACAUCAACAAUUCCCAUCGAUAUCCUAUUCUACUGUGCACAUUGAGCUUGCUUGGAACUGGUUUCACAAUUAAUAGAGUCAACUACACAAAAGAUCAUUUCCAACUACCCUCAUUUCCCGAAUUCAAAUCUCAAUACUGAAUUUCCAACCACAUCUCAUCCUGCCUAAACCUUUUGUUGAGGCACAAAACCAGAGGUCUUGGAACAACAUAAAUCCGACCGUGAAUCUGCAGAAAAUGUAAAUAACACAAGAUGUAUCGUGGUUCACCCCAAUGUUUGGGCUACGUCCACACUAAUAUUGUAUUUCUCUGAGAGGAUUAUGAAGGAGAGAGGGAGCUUCUCUAUGAGGAUGAGAGCUAUGAGAGGGUGAAGGUGUGGCCUAAGAAUUGGCCUCCCUUAAUGAGGAGAGUGAGGGGUCCUUUUAUAGAAUAAGGGUUCCUCACUUAUUACAUAUUUGCCCCUACCUUUAUUACAUAAUUACAUUUGAGUCCCCCCGAGUAUUUAUACGAGAUCUAAAUACGGAGGCCCUAAGUAUGGUACAAACAGUAGUCCCCCAAGUCUUCAAUCAUGAGAGUCUUUUGGCUGGAGACUUAAAAUUCAGUCCAUGUGUGGGCCGAAAUAACUAGAUGUCGUCUAGAAUUAAUACUCGAUAUGAGACGGUGCUCAAUUUGAAAUGAUGCUCAACUAGAAGUAGCACAGGUUGCGAGGCUACUCUAUUUGUGGCUUAUGUUUCCUUGGUUGACUCGGCUUGUGGCGUUAAAGGUGAGGGAGUCCCUUUUAUAGAAUAAAGGCUCGCUUCUCAAUACAAAAAUGAUGGGCUAGAGUCGAUGCUCACGGCGAGACGGUUGCUUAGCAGGCAGCGAUGUUCUCUAAUGAUGGUGAGGGAGUCUCUUUUAUAGAAUAAGGGUUCGCUUCUCAAUACAUAAAUGAUGGGCUAGGAGUGAUGCUUGCGGCGAGGCGGUUGCUUAGCAGGCGGCGAUGCUCUCUAAUGAAGGUGAGGGAAUCCCUUUUAUAAAAUAAGGGAUCGCUCCUCAGUACAUGAAUAAUGGGUUAGGAGUGAUGCUCGCGGCGAGGAGGUUGCUCAGUAGGCGAUGGUGCUCUCUAAUGAUGGUGAGGGAGUCCCUUUUAUAAAAUAAGGGCUCGCUCCUCGGUACAUGAAUAAUGGGUUAGGAGUGAUGCUCGUGGCGAGGUGGUUGCUCAGCAAGCAGCGAUGCUCUCUAAUGAUGAUGAGGGAGUCCCUUUUAAAAAAUAAGGGCUCGCUCCUCAAUACAUAAGUGAUGGGCUAAGUCCCCCAAGUAUUUCUCAUGAAGCCCAGUUGAGGCUCAAUAUAUGGUACAUAAUCUAGUCCCUCAAAUCUUCGGUCAAUAGAGUCUGUUGGCUGGAGACUUCAAAUUGAAUCCAUGUAUGGGCCGAAGUGGCGGUUGUUCGGAUGUGAUAUUUGUAUACCCUGCACUGAAGCUUUGUAGGUGAAGCUUUGCAAGUGAAGCUUUAAAGCUGGAGCUUUUGUAAAUGAAGUUUUUGAAGCUGGAGCUCUGUAAAUGAAGCUUUUGAAGGUAGAGCUUUUAUAAAUGAAUUUUUUGAAGCUAGAGCUCUGUAAAUGAAGUUUUUGAAGCUAGAGCUCUGUAAAUGAAGCUUUUGAAGCUAGAGCUUUUGUAAAUGAAGCUUUCGAAGCUAGAGCUCUGUAAAUGAAGCUUUUGAAGCUGAUUGACAUAAGUGAUGCUCAUGAAUGUUUAUGUUGAUUGACAUGAGUGAUGCUCAUGGAUGUUGACAUGAGUGAUGCUCAUGAAUGUUGACAUGAGUGAUGCUUAUGAAUGUUGACAUGAAUGAUGGUUAUGAAUGUUUAUGUAUGAUUGAUAUGAGUGAUGCUCAUGAAUGUUUAUGUAUGAUUGACAUGAGUGAUGCUCAUAUAUAAUUUUGGAGUACUAGACGUACUUUUGAUCACCUAGUGGGUAAUAAUAGCGGCAGGCAGCCGAAUAAUUUUUUGUAGUACUGGGCGUACUUUUGAUCAUCUGAUUGGUGAUAAUAGAGGGCCUCGCUCUUUUGGGCAUAUGGGCUUUCGCCCUCCACAUAACAUUCCAACCCAUUAUUUUGGGUUUUUUUUUUACUAUUACCCUCUGAUAGGGUUUAUACAGAUGUCUCCGAAAGAUAAGAAAAAUAAAUUACAUCAUUAAAAAAUAAAGUCGACCAUCUGCUCAAUGGGUCACGCCUAUAAUUCCCUCUUCUGCAUGUUAUCCUCACCACAAUUAUGUCUUUUUCUUUUUCUAUUCUUUUCCUCCUUCUUUUUCUUUUUCUUUAACAUCAUGGUGUCGUCUGUGAGGAGUGGGAACAUGCAUGAUGAAAGUUGGUGGGCAUCUUUUGCGCUGUCAUCGUGCCAAGUUGAUUCCCUUAAUCAACUUGGAGCUUGGGCUGAUGUGCAUUAGUGGAUAGCUAUACUUUCAGCUUUUUCUUGUUUUUUUCUUCUUUCUGCAAUUAUCUUAGUGGGUGGGGUUUUUGUUUGGAGCAUAAUCUUACCCCCGAACACAUCAUUGAUCAAUUUGCUCAUGUUGUUCGCCACCCGGUCCACCUGCAAAGUAGGCCAUCGGGUCCACCUACAAUAUUCGCCAACCUGAAACUUACCACGAUCAUCCUCGCUGUGUGGAGUUUCAGAUCGAAACUCUGUAAUUCGUGAUGUCGUGGUAGAACAAGACCGCCCUCAACAAGGUCGACGAGCUUGUUGACAUUAGUCUGUAGUUUCUUGAUGGCAGAGCCAUCCUUGUUGAACUACAAUUCCUUGGCCAUGGUACAGAUUCUGGGAGACCGUGUCCUCCUUAAAGCCACAUUCUGCCUUUUAGAGACGGAAAAUGAAGAGAAUGAAGCACGAGACGACAAGUUGUCGAAUUUCCUGUCAAUGACACGGCCGCUAGGAGGUCGUCGAUCAGACAUGAGAGGACUGGAAGUCAUCGAUCCGACCUGAGAGGACCUUGGAACUCUGAACCUGAGUGGGACUGACAGCCGACGAAAAUGACUGUGUCUCCGACGGCGGUGAGGUUGAGGAAGUCCCCUGACAGAGCCCUCUCCCCCGACUUUCUGGGAUCGUGGUGCAAGUUCCUGCUCAUCAGCUUCUGUUCGUAUAUCUCUCGAGUCCCCAUCGUCGGAUUCUGACAAAAAUGCUACCAAUUUCAGAGAAAUCAACUGACGGAGGCGAUGGUAACUCAAUUGGCGGAAAUGACGGCAGCUAUGAAGGAGAUGAAUCACACGGGUUAGGCUCGGUUCGACGAGUCGGGUCAGUUUUGCCUCUGCGUUGUAGAGAGAAUGGAGAGUGGGCGUACAUAGAGAUACGCGUGGGGGAGGCGGGCUAGUCUUGAACCUUCUCGUUGCCCUCUCCGCUAAGAAUGACGCCCUGAACUGUAGCACCGUAGGCAUCACCAUCCCCACCAAGAAAGAACAAGUCUUCUCAACCUACUCCGACGACCAGCCCAGAGUCUUGAUCCAGGUGUACGAAGGAAAGAGAACCAGGAUCAGGGACAACAACUUGCUCGGAAAAUUCGAGCUCUCCGGAAUCCCGACUGCACCCAGAGGAGUACCCCAGAUCAUCGUCUGCUUCGACAUUGACGCUAACGGUAUCUUGAAUGUCUCUGCGGAGAACAAGACCACCAGACAGAUCUAUAGCUUUUGUUGGGGACUGUGAAAAGCAAAAGAUAAGCUUAGCUUGUAGCUUUGGAAAUCAUAGUGUUAGUUGGGUUGAAAUCCCUGUGAAAUCGCUUUUGUUGCAGAGUCUUUUUGUUGGGGACUAUGAAAUCCCGGCGAAGGAUAAAAGUGUUUGAGAUUUAGAUUUUUUCUGUUUCUGGGUUUUUUGUGAUUUUGCAGAUUCACGGUGGAGGUGAAAAAAUGAAGGAGAAUCGACACAACUUUUCAUAUCGAUUCCCACAGACGGCGCCAAAUGUUGAUGCACAAAACCGGAGGUCUUGGAACAACGUAAAUCCGACCGUGAAUCUGCAGAAAAUGUAAAUAACACAAGAUGUAUCGUGGUUCAUCCCAAUGUUUGGGCUAUGUCCACACUGAUAUUGUAUUUCUCUGAGAGGAUUAUGAGGGAGAGAGGGAGCUUCUCUAUGAGGAUGAGAGCUCUGAGAGGGUGAGGGUGUGGCCUAAGAAUUGGUCUCCCUUAAUGAGGAUAGUGAGGGGUCCUUUUAUAGAAUAAGGGCUCCUCACUUAUUACAUAUUUGCCCCUACCUUUAUUACAUAAUUACAUUUGAGUCCCCCGAGUAUUUAUACGAAAUCUAAAUACAGAGGCCCUAAAUAUGGUACAAACACCCUUAAUGAAUAGCAUUCCAGCAAUAAUUUCAUAACCAAUAACAAGUAAACACUUAUUGAAGCAAUUAGCCAAUUAAUAUCCAAUUGCAUUAAUCAACCAAAAAGAUCAAGAAUAUUAUAGCACUUCACGAAAUUUAAUAAAAUCAAUUUCCGUAAAGGUCUGCCGUAUUUCCCCUGCAUGGAUUCCAAAGCUAAAAUGAAGAUCAACGUCACUACCGGAAUAGCUAAGCUUCACGUACUUAUCCAUGUCACUACCGAAAUAGUUAAGUUCCAUGUACUUGAGGAAGCUCCCUGAUUGCUCCUAACACCAUAUAUUUAUUUUACUUUCUUUUAUUUUCUAAUCUCUCUCUAUAUGUAUGUGCGUAGGUAUACAUACAAGUACAUGCAUACAUAUAUAUCAUAUAGUAUGCAUACGAACAUAUCGUUAUAAAUAUAUAUAGACACUUAUAUAUAUACACACAUGAGCUGCAGAGCAUGCAUUGCAUGCUAGCUCUCCCUCGAAAACAAAUGGAGACGAUCUCCUAUUUAUACCAUAAAUAAGGCAGCAAACUAGUUGUUCUCAUUGGUUUAUAAGUUUCUCUACAAUCAACUCCACUUGCUAUUACACCAUUUCACGUUAGCUAUAGGCAUCAUUAGUCAUCAACAUAGCCUUCAAUAAUCAUCACCCUACAGUGCUUUCUAAGCACUCUAAAAACACCAAGUGAUAACACCUAAGCUACAGACUUUCCACCAAACAUGCUAAUAAUAGGAUUAGUGUCCUUAAGGUAGGCAGUAAACACCACGUGGCAAACUUAGCCACUCAAUGAAUGACAUUUGUUUACAAUUUCCUAGUUCAAUUGUAAAUUCUGAAAUCGUAGAGAGUUCGAAAUGUAUUUCAAAAAUGCCAUGAGCUCAUUAUAAUUCCUACUAUCUUCAUAUAAGAACCUUUUCGAUAAAUAAUUUCCAAAUAAUUCUCUUCUUUGGUAAUAAAUUAUUGGGAUCUCACAAUGAUAUUGUAAGGCCGCCACGUAAUGGAUACAAAUUUAAAGGAAAGAAACACACAUUGUACUCCAAAAGCUACAUCACUAAGCACGUUACAUUUCCAACAAGCAACUACAUAUAACUUCAUCAUGUACAUUUUUGGAUAUUUUUGGUAAUUAUAGGAAUGAUUACGGUAUGUUGGACGCCAAUCUGAAACGAUGAUAAAAAGAAAAUAAUUUGAACAAGAAUAGAGCGUAACAUCAACUUUUUUACAUUUCAUAUCAGUCACAUGAUGAGUAAAAUCUAAUAAACUUUUCACAGUAUAAAAUUUGAAUUCAAAAAGUCUCGAUACAAUUUAGAAAUAAAUGCCAUUUAAUAAUAUAACCUCACGAUCAUCUCUCAUAUGUGCACAUAAUUAGCGGAUGAACAAAGCUUGAAGCAUGAAAUAAUUAAAGCAACAAAGGUGGCUGAUGAAAAAUAUCUAAUUCUAUUCGGCUACGUAAGCACACAAGUCACACACUGUGUAAAAAUAAUUUUAUAAAAUUAAUUAGUUAAUUAACUGUCACAUUUUAGUUCCACUUAAGACAUACAUAUCAUAUCAUCACGUGCGGCAGCCCCAACUUGGAGUUUGGAAUAUUAUAUUUAUUAAAAUUAUUAUUGUCACUAGCGGUGGUGAAUUAAGGGAGUGUUUGAGAAGUGUUUUUUAAUGAUUGAAAAUGCUUUAAAAGUAAAUAUUUUUUGUUGCAAAAACACUAAAAGUACAUAAGUGAUUUUUUCAAGAAGCAUUAAUUUUGUGUUUCUUGCAGGAAGCACUUUAUAUGUUUUUUCAAAAUUAACUUGCAUUUGUAUUAAGAAUUGAUUUCAAAAAUAUUUUUCUAACAUCAUUUUAAGUUAGUUAAGCACUUCCAAACGAGCUCUAACUCAAUCCAAAAACAUUGAAUUCGUAUAUUUGAUAAUUGGACAAUAGUCAAAAAAAAAUUUAGUUGAUUUGUAAUAUGAAUAUUUUUAUUUUGUUGUUGUAAUUGCCGUGGAUUUCAUAUCCGUCAACGAUGAAAGGAGGCAUCGUUCAAUUAGUAUUAAUAAUUGUUUUCUAUUUACCCAUAGAAAAUGAUUAAAAAAUAACAAAUAAAUUUAAUCUCCAGAAAUGACGUUUUACUGUAGUAGUUAAAAUUAAUUAUGUCUAUGCACUAUGUGAAGAAUCGUUCUUAUUAAUUCUCAACGUCACUAACAAUUAACUAUUUAAUCCAUUAAGACUAUAAUUCUACCAAAAAAAUAAAUUUAAUUCCAAAAAAUAUAAUAUUUUUUAGAAAUUUACUAUUAUUAAAGGGAAUUGUUUUUAGCACUCCAAAAUUUUCAUUCUACACUCCUAACUUUUUAUAUUUAGAAAGAAAAAUACACUUGUGAGGAGUGUAAAAUAAGAUUUUUGGAGGGCUAAUAACACUUCCCUUAUUAAAAAAUGAGAAUAGCUCGAAACGAUUGUAAUAAUUUAAAGAUGAUGUGUUUCAAACUGAGAUAACCCAAGACUGUUCACAAGAAUAUUUGUACCACAUGCACAAUACGUUACGACAUCAAUUUUGUAAUGUUUGGCGCCUCGUAUUGACUCUCCCUCGUGGCGAACCAUUGAACCAACCCCUCAUCUAUAAGUAUCGUAAAUUCUUCACUCCUCUAUCCUCAUUGAAACUUUCGCGGCAGACAACGAGGGUAGACGGUGCGCACUCUAAGGAUCUCCAAUUUUCUUGCUCUCCAUACCUUCCAGUUUAACCAACUCCCCCACUUCUCUCUCUCUCUCUCUCUCUCUCUCUCUCUCUCUCUCUCUCUCUCUCUCUCUCUAACAUUUUCCCGACUUUUCUUUUCCUCUUUCCAUCGCUUUCUCUGCAUCCAAACAUGAACGCUACGGUAAUUACAACAACAACACUGCCUCAUUUCUCAUCCUCCCGCUCCGCCGCCGCCGAAUCAUCCUCAAACCGCCAAUUGCACAACCUUAUACCGGCCAAGUUGAAACUCGACAAACAAAACAACAGAUGUUCCUUAUCCAUAAAAUGCAGCCCCAGUCGAGGAAUUCGAAUCACGAGCGCGUUGGCCUUGACGGCGGCGGAGGCACCUCCGUCGAAGGCCACGGAGAUGGUGGCUGACAAGAUAAAACGGCUCGUUUUGGAAUUCAAGUCCCUGGCGGAGCCAAUCGACCGCGUGAAGCGGCUACUACACUACGCAGCGAGGCUCCCGCCGGACAAUGUGUCGGCGCGGGAGCCAGAGAGCCGAGUCCAGGGGUGCUCGACGCAGGUGUGGGUGGAGGCGGAGAUGGACGAGGCGGGGAGGAUUAGGUUCCGGGCGGACAGCGACUCGGAGAUCUCGAAGGGGUUCUGCUCGUGCCUGAUUUGGAUGCUCGACGGCGCAGAGGCGGGUGAGGUUCUGGCAGUGGAGACGCAUGAUUUGCAGGACGUGAAUGUGGGGGUGUACGGGAAGGUGAAUUCGAGAGUGAACACGUGGCACAACGUGCUGCUGGCGAUGCAGAGGAAGGCUCAGGCUUUGGUGACGGAGCGAAAGCAGGGGAUACGGGGGACUAAUCAGUAAUGAGGUAUAUAUAUUAUACAAGCAAUAAUGGCGAGAGAGGGUAAAUCAAACCGGUGAAAACAAUAAUCGAACUCGAGACAUCAGACGCUAGGUAACUGAGAUAUACGUCUAUCAAUAUUUUUGGUAACUUGUGAAUCAAGUUAGCAGAAAUUGAAGCACAUUAUUAUGUGUUAUUGAAAUAUAUUGCGUUGAAUCAAAUUUAUUGUGUUGUAUUAGAAUACAUACAGAGAGAAAUUAGAUAAUUUUAUCUCAUUUUUCUUCGAUGGUAUGUAACAUUAAGUAAUUCGAAAAAUAAAUAUUUAAAAAAUUUAAACAAUUGUGAAAAUUAGAUUUAACAGUUAAAACAUUUGUACCGUAAAAUCUAGGUAGCAAUGAACCUAUAUCGGACCCUAUUCAACCUUUCUUUUCUUCGGUCCUUCUUGCGAUGGCGAUGGAUUCCGGACGCUUAACUCGUUUAGCAAGGCGCAAUAAACAGUGAACAAUGCCCAAAAGUCUUCAAAACAAAUAGCCCUUUUCAUGCAAUACACGGACACCCAUCUAAUUUACAUGCGGUGGCAUUUAGAGCAAGUCAGGCAAAUAAUGGACCCAAAAAGUCAGGCAAAUAGUGGGCCCAAGCCUGCCCGACAGGCCCAUCAAGCAUUCUGACCCGACACAACUGGAUCCUCUCUGGAUCCAAAAUGAUCUGAGCCUACUGAGCAAUGUAUCCGGGCCAUUGAAAUUUGAUCAAACGGCUACAAUUAGUAUAACUUUAGAGGGGCCCCUGUUUGUAACCGUUGGAUCAAAUUUCAAUGGUCCGGAUGCAUUGCUCAGUUGGCUCAGAUCCGUUGGAUAGGGAGAGGAUCCAGUUCCUGUCCCGACCACUUCUCUGAGUGCCAUCUGAUGUCACAUGUGUCAGAUCAACAUAACGUCAGUCACAUUAUUAAUUUUUUUUUUUUUUUUACGUUAGGCGCGCGCACAAACACCCGAGUGGGUGGUGUGUUUUGGCAAACAAACAAGGUCAGUGGGGCCCAACUUGCAGUGCACUAAGCGCGGGUUGUAUAUAUGGGCGACAUGGCCCAUUUUCGAACGAUGAAUUUUCAAUGAAAAUUUGGACCAUUGGUUUUCCAAUGGUAAAGAAAGUUUUGAUUUCUAAUCCAGUGGCUAGUGCACGCGACGUGACGUGUACAAUUAGAUUUCUAACCGUCACAUAUUCCAACUGUACAUAUUAAAAGCGUAAAAUCUCAAAUUGGCCCAACCCAAGGUGUGGCGUUCUUGCCCAAGAUAUGCAGCCUGGCGGCACUGGUAGCAUAUAGGGGAUAUGCCCAAGAUAGUGUAAUGGGAGAUGAACCGACUAAGGCUAGCUUUCCACUUCCACUUGUAAUUGUAAAGCAAUUAAAUUCAACCGACUAAGGUUAGACAUACUAAAUUUAUAAAUUAAAUAAUGUGUUAUAAAUAAGAAAUAAGCAACUUAAAUCAUUUUUUUCCUUUUGUUUUUUGUUUUUUGCAUGUAGUCCAAUAUCUUAAUGGAUUUUCACCCAUGCAUUCCGGAUUCGAAACUCCUUAUCUCCUGAAUUAUGUAAUAUUAUUCUCAGGAAAAUUAUCAGGAAACAUACUAUGCAAUCUGCUUUCUUCCCAAAACCUAUAGUCAACUCAUAAAUUUACCAUCUAAUUUAACAAAUUUAUCCUUUGAAAAUAAUAAUAAUAAUAAUAAUAAUAAUAAUAAUGAAAAACUCUCAUUGAAUUUUUGAAGGGUUUUUUUUUAGAACUUUAACUAAAAGCUUAUAGAACUGUUUAUUUUAAAGAAAAUCUAUAUUUUUACACUAAAAAAAUUAAUCAUAGUACUAUUUACUUUACCCUUUAUUUUAUCUUUAUUGUUAAAAUUCAAAAUUUUCAAACAUUUUUUAUUAGUUUUUUUUUGUUCUUUUCUCCAGAAAAAGGUGCACUGUAAAGAGCAUCACAACCGUCAAACUACCAAGCACAAAACCCAACAAGUCACGCAAACACCCCAACGCUCCAACUUGCAUGAGGCCCACGACUUACUCGGGGCCCACAAAAUCAACGGUUCACAGUUCGACCUCCCGGGCCCACUUUGACAAUCAGACCGCCUCAGGAAAUCACCACGUAGCUGAUAUAGCUGGUGAGUUGUAUUUCCUACACACAAAAGCUCACGCGCCCACUCUCCUUGCUCUUCCCUCUUCUUCUCAUGUUCUCGGAGCUCCGGCUACAAUAACGGAGCCCCAGCUCGCAUCUCACCUUCUAGUUUCUUUUUAUUUUAUUUUCGCCUUCGUCCCGUUCCAUUUUUUUUUCAAAUUUUUCUGGUCAUUUUUCUCCCUUUCAUUUCGAACUGCGUUCACAGAUCUCGCAAACCGUCGAAGAUGGCCAAACCCUGGGGUACUGUCGGCAACUGGGCCGCCGAGGCUGAGCGAGAAGAGGCCGAGGAGCUCGCGGCGGCCGCCAAGGCCGAGUCCCAGAGCUUUCCCAGUCUAAAGGAAGCCGUCAGCGCCAAGCCCAAGAAGAAGAAGAUGAGCCUCUCUGAAUUCUACAACGCCUCCGGCACCCCCGCCUCUAAUCGUGUCGGCCUCACUCCCGACGAGAUGAUGCGCCUCCCUACCGGCCCCAAGGAGCGCUCUGCCGAAGAAAUGCAGUACGGUCGCCUCGGUGGCGGGUUUCCCUCCUACGGUCGCUCUGGUACGAAUCCGGGUCGGGGCGGGGACAGAGAGGGCGGGGACGGGUCGUGGGGUGGUGGAGGAAGAAGAUCCUACGGUGGAUUCGACGACGACAGGAGGGGCCCGCCUUCUAGGGUUUCUGAUUUAGAUCAACCGUCAAGGGCGGACGAGGUUGACAAUUGGGCAAUGACUAAAAAGUCUCUUCCUUCUGUAGAUUCCGGUAGGCAGAACCGGUAUAGCUCGCUCGGUAGUGUUGGUGCUGGGGGUGGGGGUGGUGAUGGUGUAGGUGGUGGUAUGGGCGGCCCAGCUUGGUCUAGGGCAGACGAGGUUGAUAACUGGGCUGUUGGAAAAAAGCCUACUCCUUCUAGGUCAUCCCCAUUUGGGUCUGAAUUUCAUUCGGGUCCGGAACCGGAUCGCUGGGUGAGAGGCGGACGCGAGGUCGACAGAGUUGAGAGAGAGCGACCCAAAUUGGUUUUGGAUCCUCCGAAAGCCGAGUCCGGCGUGAAUGAGCCAUCGCAGGUUGUGAAGACCAAUAAGCCGAACCCCUUCGGAGCAGCUCGACCUAGGGAGGAGAUUUUGGCUGAGAAAGGGUUGGAUUGGAAGAAGUUGGAGUCGGAAAUAGAAGCCAAGAAGACGAGUAGGCCGACGAGUGCCCACUCAAGCAGGCCUUCGAGUGCUCAGUCAAGCCGGUCUGAAGGGCCCGGGCUGCAUGCAAGUGAUAAUGUGGUGAAGCCGCGGCCGAAAGUAAACCCCUUUGGUGAUGCCAAGCCAAGGGAGGUUUUGCUGGAGGAGCGGGGUAAGGAUUGGCGGAAGAUUGAUCUCGAGCUGGAGCAUCAGGGUAUUGACAGGUUGGUUUUGCUUUGUAUUUUGUCGAUUUUGUAGGUAGUGCAUUCAGCUAAGUAAUGGUUUCAAUAUGUAUGGUAAUGGUUGGUUGAUUGUUUUUUUGCUAUUAAGAAUUGCCCAGUUGCUGAUGCUUAGAAUAUUAGUCAUGUAUAGUUUUAGGAGGAAAUUUAUCGGUCUACUUUCUUCAAGUGGAAUGGGGAACCUUUUAAUUCAUUAGUGCUUUGCUAACACUAAAAACAAAAUGCUAUGUCAUGAUUUGUCAUGAGGACUGUUCUAAGCAUGCCCCCGUGAGAUCCUGUAUUGAAAUUCGACUGUUCGCCAUUUUAAGCGAUAGUUUCUUUUUCCUUCAAGUAGCGCUUCGAACUCUUUUUUUAUUGCUCGACUUCAUUUGUUACUUGCAUUGCUUCUUCAUUUCUUCAUCUUAGUCCCUACUUACUUGCCAUAAGUUGUCUUACUAGUUAAUCAUCGGGAGAAUACUGCUGGAAUUAUUCCCAGCAACUACAAGUGUAUGCAAAGAAGCUAGAUGGGUUAGUGCCGUUUGUCACCUUUGGUUUAUGUUUCGAUUGAAAGGGGUCUAUAGAAAUGAGUAGACUAGUGUAUGGUUGAAACAAGGAGAUUAUGUUUGGGUUAGUGCCUCCUCUUGGGCACAUUCUUGUCUUAUUGUGUGUUUGUGGUGUGGGGGUGAAAAGAGUUUACGUAACUUUUUUCUUCCCCUCCCCGAUGAAGUAGAUAUUCAUUGCAUACAACUAGGCAGUCAGAGACAUUGCACAAGACCAUGUCUUUUUCUUUGCUGGAUGUUAUGCUGAAACAGCCUGGUGUCUUUUUCUUUGCUGAAUGAGUCUGAUCUAAUCACAAGAUACUAAUUUUGUUUGCUUUUAUAAAUAUUCAAACCUGAUUGCACCUACGUGGAAAUUAUUAGAAUUACAUUUUAAUUGGUUAAAUAUAUUAUUCACUGGAUUACCUUUUCCACUUGGCGGUAAUUUAGCAUUGCAAAAUGCAGUAGGCCAAUGAAACCUUAUCAAUAAACUCAAGUAGUUUGCCUUGUAAGCAGUAGGCAAACUGUUUAUUUUCAACUUUCUUGUCGUGGUUAUAUGUAACCCGUGGGUGUCCUGUUGAAUUGACCUCUUAAGCCUUUUGUUGCAGACCUGAAACAGAGGAGGAAAAGAUAUUGAAGGAAGAAAUAGAUCAUCUAAAGAAGGAACUCGAGAAAGAAUCUACGGAUAAAGUGAACAGUGAAACUGUGCAAGAGUCUGGUGGUGACCGGCCAAGUCUACGCGAUAUAAUACUACAGAAGGAAAGGGAAUUGGAGGCAUUGAUCCGAGAAUUUGAUGACAAAGUUCGCUUUGGGCAGAAGGCCAUCGAUAGGCCAGGGUCUGGGGCUGGUAGGCCUGGUUCUGGGGCAGGAAGGCCUGGGUCUUCAGCAGGGAGGGCUGGUAACUUUCAUGAGAGGACGCCGUCUUAUUCCGGGUCAUUUGAAGAUUCUAGAAGUGUGGAAUACGUAGAUAGGUCUCCCUUGCAAGGCAAGGGAGAUCCGUGGGCAAGGCCUUUUGAUGACAGAAGGUCAUUCCAUGGUGGCAGGGAAAGAGGAGGAUUUCUGGGGAGCAGAGACAUGGGCAGGUGAGAAUAAUGUGCUUCUGUGCUUUCCUGUUACAGUCUUAUGGAGGAAGUUAACCUGUUUAAGAAGUAACUUGAUCUGUUAUGCUUUUAGGAAAGAAAUUUUUUCAAUAUGCUAUUUAGUAGCCUGAUCCCGGAACUCUCAAAGAAUGCAUUGGGAAAAAAGUUGAUAAAUAGUUGUAAGAAAAAGUUUAAAAUUGGAUCAGAAACUUUCAAAGAAUGACCAUUUGAUUAUUAAAGAAUUGGGACAUCUCAAAAUAGCAUUUUAAAUGACUUAACAAUCCAUUCUCGACGAUUUACGCCUGUGUAGUCAGCAUAAUAUGUACUUUCAGAGCUAAAUGUUUGUCUAUGAAUCUAUGAAUGCCACAAAAUGCAUAUGACGUUUGGUGGUUGUUUAUUUGGCAGGGCAAGGUCAAGAGAAAGAUGGUGAACAACUGCGCCGUUUCUAUGGAUUCGUUGAAUUGCGCUUCUGACAAACAGGACCAAAUAAUAUUUUGCCUCACUCUUUUUGUUUUCUUCAUUUUGCUCUGGGAAAUGGAGCAAGCAUUAUUGAUUACCGGCACUUGGAAAACUCUUGCGUUGAAGAUCUACUGUUACAUCGUGACACUAUGUAAAAUUGCAGUUUUCCGUUUUCUUUGUUGUCUGUUUUUUUUUUUAUGUGAAGGAGCCUGUAUUGUUCUUAGGUUCCAAUUUUACUGAACACUACGGGACUCGCUAGUCUAUUUUUGUGACAAUCGUCUGGGAAUUAUACUGAUAUUUUGGUUCUUUUGUGCAUGACCUCGUUGCGGAACUCAAUUUUCUCAAUUUUUGUUGCGCGAUUGCUUGACUCUCUGAAUCCUACGGGAUAAACCAUCGAUCCAAAUUCCAUCCCAAGUUUCUCAUUGACUUUGGUUCUACCAAAAGGUGGUGGAGAGGGCCAUGGGGAGUGAAGAGUGGAGGCAGUGGCAAUUGGAGUGGUUGCCAAGUCCCAUCAAGGUUUUAACUUUGGCGAUUCUAAUUCCAACACGGAUGAUUUAUCAGCUACAUUUUUCAACUUCCUUCUCCCUACCGCAAUACAUUCUUUGGUAAGCCUUGAAGUCUUAUGGUCUCCGAUAUGGCUACGUUCAUUUCAUCAAUGGCUAGUGCUUCGGGCGUAACCUGUAAUUUCUUUGCGUAGAAAAUGGUUAACCAUGAAAACAGCUACAAUGUUGCAUCUUCGCAUGAACUUGUAAAUGUUCUUAAAGAGAUUACAAUCUUGAACAAAAUAGUGAUAUUGGUAGUCUUGCAGCAACUCUACCAACAAGGAGCAAGAGUUCAUUGGAUUCACAACACAGGUCCCCACGGCGGUCGGAGGAAAGCGAUUGUUAACGGCACUGAAGUUGAGAUGGGGUGGGGUGCACUAUUCCGAUGCUGCAAACAACUUGAUAGCCAACCAAAUUAUGGGCGGCUCUUUCUCCGACUCUCCAGUCUCAAUCGCUGAAGCAUGUCGCAAUCCUCCACGUUCUGAUUCAACUUCAAGCGGAUAACUUGUUCUAUAAGUUUGGUACGGCUUUAAUAUUGUACUUAAUCAUUGAAGUGAGAGUGUUUAAAUUAAGGAUCCAACCUUGUUUUGUUCUUGAAUAAAUUUAAACAACCGAUGUGGACACCCCUAACAAAUGAAAUCCAAUAAUAUUUGUGAUGAUAUCACAAUGCAUCUUUUAUUUCAUAAUAUUUGUUUCCAGAUUAUGCUACUUGCCUGCCCGUUGACCUUCAAAUCUAUAAGGCUAUUCUAUCGAUUUCACGAAGUACGAAGUUCUUAUGGACCGUGCGAGGUUUAUUUCUAUCGGCAGGUGGUGGAGAGGACCAUGGGGACUGAAGAAGAGUGUGGAAGCAGUGGCAGUUGGAGUUGUUUUAGUUGCUGCUCUUUCAACUUCCUUCGGCCUUGUACCACAGAAGAAAUCGCGCAGUGCUUGUCAAUUCCCGGCAAUGUAUAACUUUGGGGAUUCAAAUUCGGACACUGGUAGUUUCUCAGCGACAUUUUAUCGGCUUCCUUCUCCCUAUGGCUAUACCUUCUUUGGUAAACCUUCUGGCAGGUUCUCAGACGGGCGUAUCAUCAUCGAUUUUAUAGGUUAGAGCAUCAACUGUUGUCAUUACAUUGUCUUCAAAUUUAAGGCUACCUAUAGACUUUUAUUUGCCUUUCUUUUGCAGCUCAAAAGUUGGGGUUUCCAUUUUUAAGUGCUUAUCUGAAUUCUAUUGGAGCAAACUUCCGUUGUGGAGCGAAUUUCGCGAUUGUAGCAUCUACGAUUCAGCCACUAGAUGUCAGGACGUUUGGAGAUGGAUAUAGCCCCAUCUCUCUUAACGUACAGCUUUCGCAAUUUGCGCAGUUCAAAGCACGUGUAAAUGAGUUUUUCCCUCGAGGUAAGGAUAGACGUUUGCUGAAGACGUUUUACUGGAAUAAUAUUUGUUCAUUAUGCUGCUGUUGCACUGAAUGACGGAUUGGUCUUCAGAUGAAAGGUCAUACGUCAAGGCCGGCCUCCCAAGAGCAGAGGACUUCUCCAAGGCCUUGUACACUUUAGACAUUGGACAAAACGAUCUUAGUGCCGGGUUAAGCUGGAAGACGGCAGACCAGCUGCUGGAAAACGUUUCCAGCAUAACAGCGCAGUUAGCCUUGACAAUCGAGGUAACCAGUUUAGAUCUUCUUAUUCAUUUCAUGAACCACUAUUGUCGGGUUAACUUUAUUAACACGAAGUCAGAAACAAUCUGUCCAGAAUUUUUUUCCGUCAUAGUUGUCACAUGAAAUGCCUAAAAUCCCGAUGGCUCGAUAAACAGAUUGUUUAAUAUGUGCAGCAACUCUACCAACAAGGGGCAAGAGUUUUUUGGAUUCACAACACAGGUCCGCUCGGGUGCUUGCCUUCAACUCUGGCGUAUAAGAUGGCAGAACCCGGCGACCUGGAUCAAAACGGUUGCUUGAAGCGGUACAAUGAAGUGUGUCAAGAAUUUAACAGGCAGCUCAAGGAGAGAGUGCUUAAACUAAGAGCCAAACUUUCAGAAGCAGUUUUUACUUACAUCGAUGUCUAUGCAGCAAAAUACACACUAAUCAGUGAAGCGGAGAAGUAUGGUAAGUCUUUUCCCUCUUCAUGCAUUUAGCUAGGGUUUCUAUACUUCAUUUCUUCGGUGUAUCCAAAACUCUAAACCCUUUUUUCUCCGUUGUGUGGAAUGCGCAGGUUUUACGAGUCCUCUAGCUCAAUGCUGUGGAAGCUACGGAUGUCCCUGUCCGUUGUGGGGUGAAAGCUAUUGUUAAUGGCACUGAAGUUGGAGGUCCUUGUAGCAAUCCUUCUCAGCACAUUAACUGGGAUGGAGGACACUAUUCUGAUGCUGCGAACGAGUGGCUAGCCACCCGCAUUAUGGACGGCGCAUUCUCUGAUCCUCCGGUUUCAAUCACUGAAGCAUGUCACAAAACUCCACGGUUUUGAUUCAACUUCAAGUAUCCCAGUUGGGGUUGUAGCAUUGCUUCGAGCAUGUCAAAGAAUACUCAACAGAAAAAAGAAACAAACAAAAAGAAUCUCUAUCAAAUUUGAAGCAAUGACGAUAACACAUUUUCGGGGUUUAUUUUGUAGCAUGAACGCUGAUCGGAAUUUAAGGUCACCUUUAAAGAUCACCUCUGUAAAAAACAAGCAGAAAUAUCGUUCAAUUGACGUUGAUAAUAGUUUCUUGUAUUUAACUGAACAGAUCUGGGUACCUGAAAGAGGGAAAGGGCGAAAAAAAAUUGGAACUGUAAAAUAGAGAAAAAGGACGACUUCACUGGGGAUCGAACCCAGAAUCUCUGGUUUCGUAGACCAGCGCCUUAUCCAUUGGGCCAUGAAGUCCGGAUGUUGAUGUGUCUAGGAUUUAAUUAAUUUAACUAUAAAAGGGCCAAAAGUUGGAAGCAAACGAUUUAAGGGGCAUUAAGACAAUCAUUUUUAGGAUUCCUAAGAGUUAAUUUAUCCUUUAUGGGAUUUAAUGAUUCGAAAGAGAGAAUUCAUUCUUUUACAGUCAUUUGAUUUGGUAAUAGUAAUAAAGAUACUAACGAAUGGAAAGAAAUGAAUGGUUUGGAUCUGUACCAACGGCCAAUUUCCGUUAGAAUAGAAGGUUCCAUGGGAACAAUUAUUUUUUUCUAUUUUCAAGGUACUUCAUCUCAUUUUUUUUUUAUAAAAAAAAAAAGAGAAGAAAAAGAAGUGUGGGGAGAAAUGACAAGAAGAUAUUGGAACAUCAAUUUUGGAAGAGAUGAUGGAAGCAGGAGUUCAUUUUGGUCAUGGUACUUGGAAACGAAAUCCUAGAAUGACACCUUAUAUCUCUACAAAGCGUAAAGGCAUUCAUAUUAUAAAUCUUACUAGAACUGCUCGGUUUUUAGCAGAAGCUUGUGAUUUAGUUUUUGACGCAGCAAGUAGGGGAAAACAAUUUGUUUGUACCAUACUUGACCAAUCCCGAAACUACCGAGCACCGGCCAACGCUAUACUGUCAAGGACCCAGAAGAGUUCCCCUCCGACGCCGAGGCCAAUCACUACUCGACACGUGUCAGAGAUUAGAAGCCAAUCAGAGCGCAGCACGUGUCGACAUCAAGAACCAAUCACAACAUGACACAUGUCAAUGUGACAAAGCUACAAGUUUUUCUAUAAAUAGGGGUCAUUCCCCCACAAUAUUGCCUAAUGCCAUUUGUGUUAAAUCAUUCACAAGAACUCACUAAAUUGAGAGCUUGAUCCUUUGUACUUGUGUAAGCCCUUCACUACUAAUAAGAACUCCCUCUACUCCGUGGACGUAGCCAAUCUGGGUGAACCACGUACAUCCUGUGUUUGCUUCUCUGUCUCUAUUCAUUUUACGUAUUUAUCCUCACUAGUGACCGAAGCAACCAAGCGAAGGUCACAAAACCUGACACUUCUGUUUUGUACCAAAGUCUUCGCUGAUUUUGUGCAUCAACAUUUGGUGCCGUCUGUGGGAACGACACUUAUUCCUACUCUCUUCAGCUGUGUGUCAAGCUGGUUUUCUAUCAUUCGUACACUUUCUUUUGACCAUGCAUCCCUCUCCAACAAUGGGAAGCGAAGGAAGCCACAGCACACAGAAUGACACCCCCCUUGCACAUAGUGCGAAGCAACGAAAGAAGGAAGGAAAACGAGUUCUUCUUCAAGCUAAAGUCGAUGAGUUGGAAGCUCAGAAACAACAAAGAUAGCAAUGAGGAAUGAGGUUCUCCAGGAGCAAUAUGAGAAGCUCUUCGAGACACUCCACGAAGCUAGGCAAAGCUCAGACACGCGAGCUUGUUGCCCCCGUGGAAGUCAACCAUCAACUAGGUGCCCUCCAACAUGGAGGGUCACAUGCAUUCGACACAUAGAUAUCCCUGAUAUAGGGAACAGAUUACCCCUCGACUUGAUAAUCAACAUGAGGCUUCUCUUAACCCAGUUGCUUCGACCCGAACCAUGAGAAGUGGAGGGAGACACCUCUUUGCUGAAGGGCAGAAGGAUCGAAAGCCGUCUUUCGCGAUUGUCGGGAUUUCCUGAAGCAACGUCGAGAGAAUUCCAUCCAUAUAAGCUCAAAGAUCAAUGACCCAAGGAUUUCUGAGAGACUCGGUCCCCUGCCACGGCCCGAGCCGGCCACCAAUUUGGGGAAGGGGCAACAAGUCCUAAGAGAGACAUGAGGGUACAGGGGACUCAGAGGUGUGUUCCGACAGACAUACCCUGGAAGCCAGUACAGCGAGUCCAGGGAAAAUCAUACAUGCCCUUGAUCAAAACCUUCCUAAUUCCAAGAGGAGAUGGAGAUUUACGAAAGAAAGCUCCAGUGGCACAUAACUCCGCUCAGGACCCCCUUGUCCUACAACUUCUUGAGGAAG